RNAcentral lists this long non-coding RNA (76214 nucleotides) under Ananas comosus (pineapple). Its description in RNAcentral is "long non-coding RNA (ACOM_LNC002369)". Lineage: Eukaryota; Viridiplantae; Streptophyta; Magnoliopsida; Poales; Bromeliaceae. The record is from RNAcentral.
CUGGUGCUAUAGGUACAGAAUCUGGAAUCUCUCUGUCGGUCGUCUGCCGCAGUAACAGAUCCUCUAACCUCUUCAUCCUGUCCUCCUGCCGACGCGCAGCGUCCAUCUGCUGUCGUGCUGCCGCGGCCUGCUGAGUAACCAACUCUGUCAACGUCGCAAGCUGAUCCUGCAACUCAUGGAGCUCACUGGACCCCGAAGUGACGGAAGUCUCAACUUCUUCCGCAGCGGCUGCCUCAGCCGCCCCGGCGGUUCCAGAACGAGUCGUAGGCAUCUUCGACUGCAAUACAAAAACAAACAUAGGUCAAUAAACCCUAUACUACUAAACCCUCAUUGAGGAUAUAAACCAGCUAAUUAAGCGAAAGCAAUGAGAUGUAACGCAUACUAACUUCCGAUGUCACGUUGUCGGCCGCCAACGUGACCCUCUGCAAAGUUAGUAAUUGCACAUCCCGAUCAAACUCCUACUAUUCGGAGUUUAUAAGUACCCAAUCACAGUACUUUCGCUAACAACAACCUCGACUAGACAUCGUCUCUCACGAGCCUAUUCUUAUAGUCCAACCAGCCUAAGGUUUGCUAGGUCUACUAAGACUCAACCCUAGUCUCUGAUACCACUAUAAUCUGUCACGCCCGAAUACCAGCGGAAGCAUAUCCGGCACGUGCACAGACCCGCCAUACACCUGCAGUAUAUAAGGCGUCUACAAGAAGCAAAUCGAUAGGAAGUAAAACAAAGAAAGUCCUAUCCUGAUAUCAGAGCAAAGUACAAGUCAAAAUACUAUCAGCAAAAGGGCAAAGAGUGUACAAUCCAAAACUCAACCAAAAGAUGAAAGUAUCACAACUAUAAAGUCUGAUCCAUACAGUAGAUAUACAGUACUGGGUAUACAAAAAGAAGGUACAAGGGUAGUCUCUCUAUACAUAAGGACAUCACCCUCGGCCGUAGCCCGAGUAACAAGGUGAUCGACUAGCACGCUCCUAGUAGUCCCUAGCUAGGCGCGACUCCCUUGCCACGAUCCCUAGCCUCUCCUGUAACAGGCUCUGUAAAAACAACCACCAAAAGGGCGUGAGAACUAUUAACAAUAGUUCCCAGUGGGUAAGCCGCCAGCCUCGGCGAAUUACACCACUAGGCUCAUGAUGUACUAAAUGGAAAUAAAAGCAGUAAUUUGCAUGAUAUAUUUUCAAUGCUAACAAUUAAUGAACAUGUAAGCAACAUGUAAUCAUAAUCUCAACAGUAAUGAAUCAACUGAAUGGUAGAAGCAUGGCAACUACUAUAAGCACAAACAUAAGCAUAAAUGUGUAAGUACUACUGUACACUGUAACUAGUAAGCAUUCAUUACUGUCCUUUGUCAUUUAGUACUUUCACAUCAAUAGAGUUUUACUUUCAUUCACAGGGAUCUACUCAAGGUAGUCCAGCUUGCGCCGCGCCUAAUGGCCCCGUGGUAGUAUACACUCCCCACGGCAAUCCACUUCGGCACCCAAUCCCGCACGGGCGAGCAACUGUCGCGUAGGCCAACUCCGGAGUGCCGGCUUGUAGGGAGCUACCCUCACAAGCGUGUGCGAAUGAGCACAAUGGCAAGCAAGCAAGGUCCACAGUCCAACAUGUCUCAAUUAUUACAAUUUCAUUUGCAAUGUUCUCGGUCUCGAUCCUCGAUCGGAAUUUCAAUAUAACAAAUAUGAACAAUAACUAGAAUCCACUAGUUUAGUAAGCAUGUAAGAGUAAUGCUAAUUUACAGGCAUUAGAAUCUUUUCACUAUCAUGGCACUACCAACAUAGUCCCAAAGCAUGUCACGGUUCUCUACUUUAGAGUCAAUGUCAUUGUUUUCUACUUUACAAAAACAUAAUUAUCAUGUCCAUUGGUUACUCAACUGAACUAAAGAUAAACAUAAACAUAAGCAUAAAUACUGUUAUGCAUAAAUUCUCUCUACUUCAUAGAGAUUCUAGUCAAUGUUAUGGCAAAGAAGUUCCAAAGAACCAUAUAGUGACAAUAUCGCACAACUAUGUCAAUUCGAUACAUAUAGAACAUAGGGGAGCUUCACUUGCUCUGGUUAGGUCAAACCCACCUCGUACUAGGUUCCAAAUAAGUUUGCAAGGGUCCCAAAAUCAGCCCCACGAGGUCCCACUGCUGCUGAAAAUAAGGUAUCAAAACCGUGUCAAAAAGACGACUGAAAUGUCCGAUUCGGCCUAAUUUACACUUAGUGCAAAGUAACCCCUUGAAUCCCUAUUCUGGGCUAGAGUAAUACCUCAAGUUAAGCUUCCAAAAGGUCCUCCAAGGCCAGUCGAAGACGGUCCAAGGGUCAAAUACCCUCUCGCUGCGAACAAUACCGAAACGGCAUCAAUAUAGUCGAUUAUAAGCUAUAAUAAUCGACUUCUCGCAAGAUUUAAUUCCUAGCUAAACUUCCUGCUUACCCGAAGUUAGAACACCUUCUAAACUCGGUCCCAAGGUCACUAAUUCCGUUUAAUAAGGUUCAAAAACCUGCUGCGAAGAGAACAAUUUCCAAAUUGUAUCAAUUCGGUCGCAUAACCCGUAUAUAGUCCGAAAUAGCUUCAUAAAUGGCUAAUUAUUCCAAUUAAGCUUCCAAGUAACUUAUUCCAGAUCUAAGAGGGUUAAUUCUCAGCUAAAUAUCUCAUAUAUACAUGCUGAAAUCUCAGGUUAAAGCAGCGGGAAGCUAAAACCUGAAAACAAUACUCAAAUCGACGUUAAUAAUGGAAAAGUUGAGCCGAUUACCUCGUCAAGCCUCCAACCAGUAGCUCACUGGUCCAGAGCUGCGAAAAGACUUCCAAAAUACUCCCUCACACGCCCACGUAGGCCCUGCGACACUUGCGAACAGCGAGGAACCAACGUCGCGACGAAAACGAACGAAAUCGUCGAAUUCGUUGUAGAGAGAGAAAAACCCUAGAGAGAGAGAGAGAGGAAGGUGGUAGAGGCUUUCUCUGAGCUCCAGCAACCCUUACUGAGCUCCCAGAGUCGUGCUGGGGUCAAAUAGGUGAGAGCAACAUGUGAAAUUACCAAAAUACCCAAGCUGCUACGUUUCUGCAUUGUGUACCGGUACAAGCUAAUGGCUGUACCGGUACAGCAAGCAGAAAAAGCUGAUUUUCGCCGGUUCAAUGCACUUUCUUGUUUCCAACAUUCCGAUCACUCUCAAACUUGUCCAAAAACUUGUCUAAGUCCUUUAGAACAUGUAGGAUAGUUCCACAUUGCAUUCCUUACUCUCGAACUCCGCAAAUUGCUGACGUUCAGUAUACUAUAAUACAGUAAGUUCAGGAACCGCUUCGACGACGCACUUUCUUGCAUCCAAAAGUUUAAUAGCUCUCAAAAUUGGCCCAAAACCACCUUUACAACAAUUAGAACUUGUGGGCACAUGCCACUUCUCAACCCCACUUUCCAACUUCACCAAUUGUAAAGUUCAAGGUAUUACAUCAUCUUUCCCAUCGUUAUAGUCGUCAUCGACGCCGACACAUUGUCGCCUUCGCCACCUUCUAUACUACUACUAAUUUCUAUACUAUUUCAGUUUUCUUAGAUGUUGUACGAAUGGUUGUCCAAAUCAAUUACUCUUUAUUUGUAUGUUGUUAAUCGUUCUAAACGUAAAGGUAAAGUGUUUCGCUUUUUAUCAUUUCAAUGAAAAAAAUUAUUAAUAACUAAUUAUUUGGAUGGAUUAAAGUAUGAAUCGAAUUAGAUUGAUCAUUUAGAACAAGAUAGUGUUAACAUACAUUGGCAUGAAAAAAUUAUUAAUAACUAAUUAUUUCGAUGGAUUGAAGUAUAAAUCGAAUUAGAUUGAUCCUCUAGGACAAGAUAGUGUUAGCAUACAUUGGCAUGUAGAGAGACGCUAUUGCAAACAAUUCAGUUGUUGUAUUAAAACAGUGCACGUUAAUAUCGAUAAUUAGGAUAAAUGUACUUUUUAAUAUUUUAUUUUUUCUAUAUUAUUUUAAAUUUAUUUAUCAGGAUCAAUUUAUUUAGCAAAGUUUUGCGAGUAAAAUUGUGCUUAAUCUAUCUAUUCCAAAAACUCAAGAAAUAAAAUUAAGCUAAAAAUUUUUAUUUACUUAUAUGAAUUCUUAUUAAAUUUAUAUUUUUUAUUAAUUUUAUCUAUUCUGAUGAUUUACUAAUAUUUACUUAUUAUUUUUCUUACUUUCAUACUUUCAGUGCAAUUUGUACGGAAGGGAGACUUGAUGGUGACAUUUUCAGUUAGUUUAGUGACGAAUUUUGUGUUUUUUUUUCAAUGAUACCAUGAUAAAUUUUGUGUUCUUUCUUUGAUGAUAUUGUAAUUCUAUUUCUUAUUUCUGGUAUUUUAUUUUGGUAAUGAUUAAAUAUUAUAUAUCGAAUCUAUAAUAUUUAUUUAUAAAAAUUUUAUUUUUUAGUAUUUGUGCGACGUGCAUUGCACGUGCACUUAACUAGUUUAAUAUAUAAAUAUUAGUAUGUAUAUUUGAACAUAAUUGCCGCUAAAGGUGUAAUAAAAUAAUAGUAAUAGCGGCCGUUUGAUAAUCACCGCUAAAUAAUUGCCACAAAAAGUCCUUUUUGGUAUAGUGGAUCUUGGUGAAGGAUGUAUUUAGAGUCCGACUAGUAAUUCUGCCUGUGACGCAGCCCAAAGAAUUCCAUAUAGUUUGUCGGUUGAAUCCAUACAUGUGAUCAAGAAAAAAGGAAGAAAAAAAAAUAGAAAAAAUAGUUUCAGUUUGUUACAUUCUUUUAGUGCUAGUUCAGACUUCAGAGUGAAAAGAGUGAGAGAGAGUGUAUGGUAAGCAGAAUUAGCAAGAGACACUGGUGACUGGGCAGAAUUAACAGUGAUUUAAAGGCCCUUAAAUGUUAGGUUUGGACCUAGGUGAAACAGAAGACAGAUGUGGUUUAUACCUGAUCUUAAGAGGCAGUGGUGGCAGUGGUUUGACGGGAAAAGAAACUGUGUCCUGCUUUUUCUUCUUCUUCUCCAGUGCUUUGGUUUUGAAGAUGGGGGAGAUAGGAAAUAACAUCGGGGGCUCGGAGGAGGGCGGGGUAUUACCGCCGCCGCCGUCGUCGCCGCCGCCGCCAUCGCCAUCGUCGCCUCGGCCCCCUCCGCCCCCAUCGUCGCCUCUGCCCCCUCCGCCUACUCCGCCUCCUCUGCCGCCGCCUUCUUUGCCAUCGCCCCCGCCCCCCCCGCCGCGCUGCCAUACGAAUUGGUCGGCGAGGAAAGAGAGGGGUAUAGAAGGACGGCGGAAGAAACAAUCGACCCAGGUUAACCCCAACUGAAAUAGUUAGAAAUCGAUAGUUAGAAAUCGUCAGAAACUAAAUUAAGUAAUAAAAAUAAAAUUAACAAUCACUAACUAAUCAGUACUCCAGAGAGUGGUAGUGGUAGAGCAGUGGAAUACGCACUGAUCUUCUCACUGUUCAACACAGAAAAUUAAUAGAAAUAUAGAUAAAAUUUUGUAUAAUUUACCUUUAAUUAACAACAAGAUAUCUUAUAUCUUACCAGAUCUUUUUUGUUACCAGUUUGAAAUAUAUUGUUACCACCAUCCUAUGAUUUUAAACGGGAAAGGUAUCGUAAGAAAUUGAAUCAAAAAGGAAUAAAUUGGAUUACGAAGUAAAAACGAUCGUUCCAACUCACCACAGGGGGUUGAGAGGGCCGGUCCUCACGAGUUGAUCGGACGGGGACAUGGCCUCUUCCUUGAGGACGAUCUCUCCGAUGAUCCUCGAAGAGAUCUCUCCUACGAUUGGCCUCUUCCUCACGAUCUCUGAUUUUGAAAUUUGAAAAUGGAGGAACUCGCGGGAUCGGAGUGGGCGAGCCAUUUAUUUAUAGUGGUGGUGGUCGGUGUGCGAGAGGAAAUUCACGAAAAAUCGCGGCUCACGGUCCACGCGGUCCACGAGGUCAUCCUCACCUCGUUGACCACAUGAGAGAGUCCACGGGUUCCAUUUAUUUAUAUAAACUUUGAAUUUGAAUCCUGAAGACGUACAGCUGGCCCCUCCACAUUCACCACAAUUUGCGGCACGUCUAGUUGGAGUUGUUCAUAAACCUCAUUCAGUAGUCUGAUGUAAGAAACGUUAAUAGUCGCCAUAUCUCCAAUUGCAAAAAAGAAAAAAAAAAAAGAAAAAAGGGGAAGGGAAGAAAAUAUUUUUUUUUGGCAAAGUUUGUAGAGGGAUUAGAGUAAAUUAAGCUAGAAUGGAAAAAUAAAAAGUGAGAACACGAACAACAAGUUAAAAAUAUAAUGCAACAAAUUUAGUCUUAUGUAUUGAAUGUACAGACACCAGAGGGGGAAAGAAAGGUAUGGAGUUAGAAAGAAUAAAUGAAUUUGAAAAGAAGAUCCAAAGUUUGCAUGCACAUGCACCCACCAUAUAUAACACGCACACGUAGAUUUAAACAUAAGUAAAGCAUGUAAAAUAGAGAGGAUCAGACACACAAUAUACAUAGAUCCAAACGUAAGUAAAGCAUUUAAAAAUAGAGAGGCUCAGACACACCACGAUUAAGAAGUAUUCCUACUAUCAUUUUUUUGUUCUUGCCGCAGGGAAUCAAAAGAGAAGGGUUCGAAUAAAAAAGAAACAAACAUUAGUAAGCCGCAGUGAAACAGAAGAGAUGUACAUAAGAGGCUCAAAUACAGUGCAAGUAAGUACCAUUGGUACUCUCCCUUUUCUUUUCUGGCAUCAGCUGAGCAUAAGAGGUUUGCCACAGGGAACAGAAGAAAUGGAUUCCGAGUAGAAAAAAAAAAAACCAAAUAUAAGCAAAGUAAGCAGAAAAUGUUAUGUACAAAACAUAAAAAAAAAGGCAAACAGUAAAUAAAAUAGCGAGGCUCAGAUACACUGCAAGUAAGUACCAAUUACUGCUUUCUUUCUUUUUUAUUGUCAUUAGCUGUACAUAAGAGGGGGCCGUGAACUACAGCUAAAAAGACAGUGAAUAUAGAAAUUGGACUGUAGAUGGUUGCCUCUGGGAAGGCCAUCCAAAUCUGAAAGAUGUCCAAUUUAAUCCACUGAAAAAGGAGGAUCAGUGAUACAAAGAAGCAGGCAAGUAAAGAGAGAAAAGAAAAAGAAAGAAAAAAUUUGUUUCUCUGUUAAUUGCCUAAAAAAAUAUGAUGGCAAAGUUGGCAACAAAUCGAAAUCAUUAUGAGGAAAAAAGUUUGCAAAUAAGAAAACUGGGAAAAUUUUGGACCGAAAGCUAAAAUUGUAAACAGCAAAGAAAAUCGAGGUUUGAAAGGAGAAAGAACCUGCCUAAGAAGUAGUGGAGAAGGAAGCCUAAAAAAAACAUAGGUCAUCAAAAAAAAGAUGUAAAUAAACAGCGUUAACUAAAAUAAGAAUACUUUAAAGAUUGUGAUUCAAAGAAAAAAAUCGAGAAGGAAAAAGUAAAGACGGGAGAAGUAUGCAAUUUGUUAAAGCAAUCAAAGUAAAGGAGUGACCAGCAAGAAUUGAGUUAUAAUAACAGUCCAAAGGGAUAGAAUAGUUGAUCACAAAUAGAAACCGUAAAUGUAAACAACCAAUUAAAGGCAGGGGGGAAGCAAGAAAAAGCGUACAAAAGUAAGAGAAAAAUGAAAAAAAUACAAAAACAGAGCCUUAAAUCCUAAAAAAACAGAUAUAGAAACAAAGCACAUAAGAUAGUUUGAACACACAGAAGCGUGGAAAAAAAAGCACAUGUAAACUACAAAUUAAAGUCCGAGAUAAAAAACAGACAAAAUUUAAGGGUAAGAAUUGAGUUAUAAUGAAGGACGCUUCAUAUUUAGUGUAGGGCGUGUACACGCCCUACUUAAUUUGACAGCACAACAAAGUCAGGUAGUAAGAGGAGGUAAGCUAUCUUCACAUAUCGGCAGCAAGUAAAUAAGUAAAUGGCUUAGGCAGUAUAAAAACCGGGCCAAAGGAGGGGGGGGCGUACCUAGCACAGUACGCAGGUAAUAAUAGAGGUGGAUAUAUAUGUGCCUAAAAUUAUGAGAUCAGUUAGCAUUGUAGAUUUAGGUAGUAGAUGUGAAAAUAUCUGCUGCUACAAUUACAUUUCACCUUGUAAUGUAUUCACCUUACAACAACAGAGGUGGAGAAUAUAGGUGCCCAAAUCUUCGGGAUAUGUUAGUACUAUAUGUUCUGUUGCAAAUAUAUUCUACCUUAUAAUGCAGAAAAAGGACAGUUCAGAUCUUUCUACAGAAGAAUGCUAUUUAUAGACUGUAUCGGAUACAACAAGUACAGAGAAGAGGAGGAAAGGGGGAUAACGUAGGGAUAAUAUCACCAAAUCUUGGCAUAUCUUUCCCCAUUUACUUCCUUUUUUGGCCUUGGUUAAAAUUAGGGGCAAAAAAGACAUGCACAGGGGCCAAGUAGAUCUAGGUUUAGAAGCCACCACAGUGUUGGAUUUCAUCACAAACCGCACAUCAUAGGAUCAACCCCAUUAGCAGUAGAGAAUAGUAUAUCCAGAGAUUAGAAAGGUGAAGCAGAGAGAGGGCUCACCUAUAGGCUCAAUAGGUAUAGGGGUAGAGUCAUCAGCAGAAGAGAGCUCACCUGUAAGCUCCGAAGAAGAGAAAGGCGAAGCUGUAGGCUCAAUAGGUUUAGGGUAGAGCCAUCAGCAGAAGAGACCUCACCUGUAAGGCUCCUAGGUAUAGGCGUAGACCCCAUGAGAGUUGGUCCAACCCGAUGCUAGCUAAUCGGAGUAGAGAGAGAAAGUGAAUGAGAUGAGAGGUGAGAGGAGGGUAGGAGAGAGAAGCCCAGGCCGAGCCGCCAAGGAGAGAAGAGAGAGAAAUCGUGGGAGUGAGGAGAGGGGCGGGCGCGAAUGGUAGAGAGAGAGCGCGAGAGACAGGCAGCGAGAGAGAGAACGCAAGAGAUUGAGAGAGAGCGACGAGGACAGAGAGCGUCGGGUAAAGAAAGUGACGGGUAGAGAGAGAAAGAGAGCAAAGGGUAGAGAGAGAAAGGGAGAGAGAGGGGGGGAGAUAGAGAUGGGUUGAGGGAGAGAGAGUGGAGAGGGGGGUUUACAGCUUUUUUUUUUUUCUUUUUUUUUCUUCAGCCCACCUCUUGAAACUUUGUUUUUUUGUUCCCGAGCCCCACCUCUUUAAACGCGUGAUACGUGGAUUCGGCUUUCCUCCUCACACCACGUGGCUUUCUUAUACUGUCAAAUUAAAUAGUUUUAGAUUACUUUUACAUUAAUUAUUUUUAAUAUAAAAUUAAUUUUUAUUAUACCAUAUUUUUAGUAGUCCAACAAGAUUUUAAACCAAACAAAAAGAAUUUAUUUAAAAAAAAAACCAACCGAACCGACCAAAUUAUUGCGGUUCGGUUCGGUUCGGUUCGAUUCCGCGCUUCUAAUUCGGUUCGAUUCACACUUCUAAAUUGGUUCGGUUCGGUUGAGGUGAAAAAAAAGUAAAAAACAAACCGAACCGGUUGAUCCUCACCGUACUCCCAUUUCCAAUCGUCUCUCUUCUUCUUACCCUAAAAACUCCCCUUUCGUUCUCUCUCUCUCUCUCUCUCUUCCGAAGCUUACGAAGCGCCUCCCAUGGCGCCCAAGCCCAAGCCGACGCAAGCGAAACCCUCGCCUCCUCCCUCCGGCGGCGCCUCCUUCUCCGCCUCCGCCGUACCCCUCGAGGAUCUCUUCUCCGCGCUCCAUCGCCAUGCCCAGAGCUUGGAGUUCGACCAAGCCGCCAAAGUCGCCGACCAAGGUCAUCUCUCUCUCUCUCUCUCUCUCUCUCUCUCUCUCUCUCUCUCUGAUCCCUUUUUUGAGCCCUCUUACGUGGAUCUCUCAGUGCUGGCGAUUGCUCCGGGAGACGAGGACGCCGUGCGGUGCAAGGUGGUGGCGCUGAUCAAGUCCGACGCGAUCGACAAGGCUCUCGCCGCGAUCGCAGAUGCCGGGCGCCUCCCGAUCGAUCUCAGGUUCUAUAAGGUAAUGUUUCCCCUUAAUCGAUUGAUCCGUCGGAGAGAUCUAUUUGUAGCGCGUCGGAUAGAUCGAUGAAUCCAGUUUCGUGAAAGAAAGAAAGAAAGAAAUAAAGAAAGAAAGGAGAAUAAUCUGAUAAGCGAUCUGCAUUAAAAUUGAAAAAAAAGCAUUUUUGAGCCAUUUCUGAAGUGGAUUGAAGUAUUUAUCUGUGAGAACAUGUUGGAAAUCUUGGAUGUGUGGAGUUGUGAAUAAAUAAUUUGGUUACAGUUUGGUGGAGAUUUGCAUUAGGUUAUUUUGGUUGGGUUUCUGCAAAUUUCUUUUUGUGCUGUGGAAAGUUCCAGCCAGUAUGUCAUCUUUGAUGGGACCAAAAAAUUGGACAUUUAGACGUUGCACCAAUCAUCGAACUUCUUUGGUUCAUGUCAAUGUAAACACAAAUAUAUUACAUAAUUGAGUAGGCAAGUCGACAGUUCAUAAUUGAAUCCAUUAGAAGGGGCUUGUACUCGAGUUUCAUUGAUGCAAGUUUCCGUAGAUUUAUUCUCUAAGUGAUUUUAGCUAUUCUGCUUUGAGUGGUUUAGGUGGUUCCAAAUGUUUGGCUUGUAUGAUGUUUUACCAAGUUGCAGCUAGCUUAACCACAAACUUCAGCAUCCAUCAUUAUGAAAGUUCAUGACAAAAUAGUUGAAAUUCUGUUAACUAAGUUUGGACAAAGUUUUUAGGAAGACCAAUGACGAGUCAUCUAAGUUUCUCUAUGUAGACAAGAAAGUACAAAUAUCAUGAUUGUGAGCGUAUUUUUUGGAAUUUUAUGAAUAAGGUUGGUUUGAAAAUCAUCAAUGUCAUUACUGAGCACAAAGAUGGUAAGAGCUGGAUUUUUUUAGCAUCAAGAGCCAACAAAAUAAAUGAUGGCUGUUGUUGGAUGCACAAGUAAUGGAUUUCCUAUACUUGUGAUAUUUUACAUGUAGACCUUUUAUGUGAGAUUCUCUUAUCCUAUAUUAGAUCUGCAUAUGGGUGUGUAUAUUUCUUUUUACUACCAAUUGUGUUUACCAGCCUAUUAGCCAAGCCGUCUCUUACUUUCAUCCAAGGAUUAAAGUGCUCAUCGGCACGAGUCAUAUCCAUCGUGCCGUAUCAUGCUAGCAAGAUAUUGGCAUGAUACGGCUCCCGUGCCGAUGGCACAACUCAAAACCCUCUAUUCUUGAAAUUAGUAAGUAAUUUUCUCAAUAAAGUUCAAAAGAUUUUAUAACAAUACAUAAUAAAUAAUUGGCAUAUUUUGCUGCUAAAGAAAAUAAAUAUUUCAUGCCAUUACGUGUCGGCACACAUAUAACUUUUGUGACCGACACGCAUCGACACGGUCUGGCACACACCGAGCCGUACUGCGCCGGCAAGCUUCCGGCACGACCCCGUGCCACGGCACUUAAAUCCUCGCUUUCAUCUAUCAGUAUGAUAGUUUCAAAAUUCUAUCAUCUUCUAAUCUCUUCUUCCCUAUAUUCAGGCCUAUUGCUUGUAUAGGCAAAACAAAUUGCAAGAAGCACUGGAUUCUUUAGAUGGCCAAGAAAGGGACUCUGUGGUUCUUCAGUUGGAGUCUCAGAUUCUUUAUCGAUUGGGAAGAAUGGUUGCUUGCACGGAAAGUUAUGAGAAGCUUCAGAGAUUGAAGAUUGAUUCCGUAGAUUUAAAGACGAAUAUCAUUGCUGCAAUGAUUGCUGCUGGAAGGGCUUCUGAAGUCGAAAGAACCAUGGAUGCACUCAAAGUGAAAUCUUCUAGCAGCUUUGAGCUUGCAUACAACACUGCAUGUUCCUUGAUUGAAAAGAAAAAAUAUGCAGAAGCUGAACAACAAUUACUCUCUGCUCGAAGGUGAGAAUAAAUGAUAGUCCUUUUCAUUAAUUUGGUAGAACUUGGAAGUUUUUUUUUUUUUAAUAUAGUAGCUCCUUUGUUGUACUUUCAAGUUUGCUUGAUAAAUUUCAUUUAAUAAUUAUGCAUAUUUUAGUAGUAUGUGAAACUAUAUGGAGAAGUUUAAGUUGAACAUUUAAUGAAGAGAUAACUGUUUUAAAUAAGACUUACGUGGGUCAAUAUUUACAGGGAAGAUUAAUAUAUUGUCAGACAGAAAAUUAUAUUAUUAAUAAGUAAAAGCUCAUUCUCGUUUACCAUGUUGCGGCUAUAUUUCAGCAGAAAAUUUUGGUGAAACUAAACUCUAGUGCAAGUUUUUACAUGUAAUUGAUUUAUUAUUAAUAUAUUAUCCGAUCAUCAAUCAUGCCAAGUAAAAAAAGCUAGACUUCUGGAUGUUCUUCUAGUUCACUGUUAUAAAAUUACAAAAUUCUCCUGCCAGUUUUGGUAAUUAGUUAGUAAAAAAAAAAAUCAAUUAAGUACCAACUUAUUUUCUAAGUCUUCAGUCUAAAAUAGGAAUCUAUUAUGGCUAAUGGUCCAACCUAAUUGUGACGUUUUUCAGAAUUGGUCAGGAGAUGCUUAUGGAGGAGGAUUACGCUGAUGAAGAGAUAGAAACUGAACUAGCUCCGAUAAAUGUACAGCUAGCUUAUGUUCGACAGGUGAAUAGUUUAUUGUAUUCAAUCUUUUUGUACUAUAAUUAAUUAGUGCUUGGCCUUUAUUGUGAUUUUUCUUGUUUGUCUUUCUUUUUCAGUUACUAGGACACACCCAAGAAUCAGUUGAAGCUUAUGUUGGUAUUAUUAAUCGAAACAUAGCAGACGCUUCAUCACUAGCAGUGGCAACUAACAACCUUAUUGCACUAAAGAGUACAAAAGAUGUUUCAGAUAGUCUGCGGAAGCUUGAUCGGCUGAUAGAAAAAUCUGCUGGUUCGAAGCAAUUUCAGCUUGCUCAUGGCCUUGACUUUAAGUUAUCUUUGAGGCAAAAAGAAGCUUUAUAUUCUAAUCGUGUACUUCUGCUUCUUCAGGCAAAUAGGAUUGAUCAGGUGCACAAAAAUGCUUUCAUUUUUUUUUACUCUCAAUUCGUGAUGCUAUCACUUGCAUGUUCUUUCUUCUAGCAUGAACUUCAAGCACAAAUCAACGAUGAGAAAUGUCAAAUGCAUUGGUGGAUAUUUUACAAUCAGCUUCAACUUGCCACCCACAUUGUACAAAUUGGUGCAAUAACUUGACCAUAGCAAAAAUCAAGUGAGAGAUGGACAUGCCGUGCAUACUAUAAAGCUAGCUAGCAGUGUACACUAAGUAAUCUUGUUAAUUGUAGGUGAGGGCUUAUGCAACCCAUGGAUUUCUGAGAUAGCCCCGAAGCUAUCAGAAAAAUCUAUGGUAGGCAACAUUGAAUAUAGAAAUUAGAAACACUGUUAUCUGGUACGAGUAUAAAUAUUAAAAAUACUAUUCUUUGGUACGAAUAUAAAUAUUAAAAACACUGUUGUUCUCUGGUAGGUUAAGCUUUUGGAGAAAGAUAGUUAUUUCAUAUAAUUUAACAUGGUAUUUAAGCAGGUCUUGAGUUCGAGUUUUACUAGCUCUUAGUAUAAUUAAUUUUCUCCCAUUUAAUUUAUGUCCACGUCUUGGGUCUAUUGAAAUAUCUCAAGCCCAGACGUGGGGGGAAGUAUUGAAUAUAUAAAUUAGAAACACCGUUCUAGGACACCAAUAUAAAUAUUAAAAUCUCUAUUUUCUAAUAGCUUAAACUUUUAGAGAAGAACUAUUGUUUCAUAUAAUUUAAUAGGGAGAAAGAUCACAACUAUCAUUGAGAGCUUCUCUAUCUCUGAGGAAAACUUAGCUAUGGUGCAAGUCCACUCCCAUCUGAUGACUAAAAUGUGAACCAGUCAAAAUCGUGCAUAUCACAAGUUCUUUUGCAUACUUACUGCAUUUGUGCAUUCUCUUGGGAGUUUAGUAAAUCAUAAAGAUGCAACAAGUGUUGAAACAUCUAUUACAAACAUCUCCUCGAUAUAGGUUCUUCAUAGAUCGACUGGUUGGCUAAUUUCUUGAUCAAAUAAUAAUGUGUAAUUUCAACUCAAAAUUUGUUGCUAUUAGUCUGUAAUCACGGUCAGCCAAUCUAUGUGGAGACCGAGUUCCUAAAUUAACCUUUCUUUCUUUGCUGAUUCUUGUCUUUUGAAUGUUUUGAAAUGCAGUGUUUUGCUUUUCAAAGACUAAAUCUAUAUAGUGAUGCUCCACUUUUUAUCUUAAAAGGUUUACGUAGAUUGUAUGACUCUAAAGAGGACUAAAAUGCAUCUCUUCCCCUUGAGGGGGGUCAUCUGAUAGAGGUGACUCAAUCUUAAUAUGAAGAUAAUGAAGCUGACAAAUACAAAGCUUUCACUUACCAAUAAUGGUGAUGUAAUUUUUUAGUACAGAUAGAUGUAUCUAAUAACAAGAUUUCACUACGGCCUUUUAUGCGUGCUUACCUUCCAAAAAUUAGGAAAGCUAAGAGACUCAAAUUAUGCAUUUGCCUUGUCAAACAGUUUAUUUGAGUCUGGAUAAAACUUAUUUUCUACAUAGGUAAAUCUGCUGGCAUUCCUGUUUGUUUAGAUUCCUUUAUGUGACUUUUCCUUUUAAAAUAAUUCAGGCUAUGUAUGUCGAAUUUUGGAGAUAUCUUUUGAUUUGAUAAUGGUUUUCGAGGCACGGUGGACUAGGCUCAAGGGAAAGAUCGCCUUUUUUAGUAAGAACAUAGUCAUUGAGAAAGAGUGUGAGUUGCAACCAGGAUAAAUGAUUACUUCUACACAUAACCUUCUUCCUAUAUUUGUUUUUGGAUAUUCUAUUUUUUGUUCUUGUUUGCUUAUCAAAAGCAGCUUUUAUUUGGCACGUUCAUUCUCACAAAAUUUGUCCAGCAAGCAAACAAUACUUCUCCCAUUCAGGCCAGCAAGUUUUCAUUUCCCAUUUCAGAUGAGUGAAGUUUCUGAUUCUUGUAUUAUAUUCUUAUUACUUAUAUUACAUCACAACUCACAAGCAUAUUCCAUGCUAUCUGAUUUACAUGGACCAAAAUUUUGUUUUGCGUGGAACAAAGUAAAAGAGGGUAAAAGAAGUGAUAUCAUGGUAACACUCAAAAGUAGUUGCUAUUGUUGUUUGAGUAACAUUCAGCUGAGUCAUAACCUUUUCCUUUAUGAUGGAGCAAAUUGUCAUAUUUAAUUGCCAUAAAUUUGUUGCUAGUUAGUAGUCCUUUUCAUAAAUUUUCUGUAUGAAAAUUUUGCAGGCUGAGGAGCUGGUCUCAGCACUUCCAGAGAUGUUCCCAGAUAGUGUAGCCCCCGCUCUUCUUCAAGCCGCGGUCUUUGUAAGAGAAAAAAAGAUACCAAAAGCCGAAGAAAUCCUUACCCAGUUUGCGGAAAAACACCCCGAGAAGUCUAAGCCAGCCCUUCUUGCUCUAGCUCAAAUAGCUGCUGCCGCCAACCAUUUUCAAAUUUCUGCAGAUUCGUUGUCCAAGGUACCUGAUAUCCAACACACACCCGCUACCAUUGCUACCCUUGUAACCCUAAAAGAGCGGUCAGGUGACAUUGAUGGCGCCCUGGCCGUGCUUGACUCCGCAAUCCAAUGGUGGAAGAAUGCCAUGGCAGAAGAUAGCAAGCUUGAUCUCAUUAUGCAAGAAACUGCUUCUUUUAAGCUCAACCAUGGGCGUGAACAAGAAGCCGCUCAACUGUAUGAAGAACUUGUGAAAAACCACCAAAGUGUUGAGGCUUUGGUGGGGUUAAUAAGCACUGCAGCUCGAACCAAUAUUGAGAAAGCAGAGCACUACGAGAAGCAGCUACGGCCGUUGGCAGGUCUAAAAGGGAUAAAUGCAGAGAGCCUCGAGAAAACAGGGGGGGCGAAGUACACUGAAGGGGGGGCUGGACCCCAUUUGGCGAAGGCUGAAGUUACGGAGGAAGUGAAGAAGAUGAAGGCGAAGAAGAGGAAGCGGAAGCCAAAGUACCCGAAGGGCUUCGACCCUGCGAACCCAGGCCCGCCGCCGGAUCCCGAGAGGUGGCUACCCAAGAGAGAGAGGUCAAGCUACCGGCCAAAGAGGAAGGAUAAGAGAGCGCAGUUGAGGGGAUCUCAAGGAGCAGUGGCGGGUAAAAAGCAUGACAUAACUGCUGCAGCAAGCAGCGGUAGCUUCUCAGGAGGUGCUUCCGCUUCAAAACCGGCACAAGAUAGUGCCGGUUCUACGAAAGGCGCGUCGCAGAAUGUGGCUAGCUCUGAGCAGCCCAAGGCCUCCAGGAAGUCAAAGAAGAAAUCGCGAUCUUAAGGGUUGCAAUAAACAAGCUGCUUCUCAUAGAUUUCUUUUUUUUAAAAAAAAUUUAUUAAGACAUUUUGUAUUUGUGAGGGCUGAGGAUCAACUCUUUUUUGCUUUUGCAGAGCGGAACCAAGUUAUUUAUAGUCUUUUGAGGCAUAAUAUGGUGUACCAUGCGGUUAGCUUCGUUUUGCAUCUCGAUGUCUGUACAAUUGUUGAUUUGAAGCAUUGGAAAAAGAGGGGGGAUUUUGGAGACAUUUGAGAAAUUUUUGUUAUCAAUUUGCCGCUGAAUUUUCCAAAAUUCUUGCUUAUAAGUAUGCUUUCAGUGGAUUGCAUCUCUCCAUUUACUUUUGGGUGCAGUGACUUUGUGCGAUCUCCUUUCCUUUAGCUGCUUGAAAUGCCAGUUAAUGGUGAAAAGACGGAAUCAAAUUAUCAGAUUUUGGCUGUUUGUCCCAACGAAAGUCAUGGAACGGGUCUCAAAAACAGUUCAAAUUUGAGAAGUUUCAAAUAAACCCUUUAAUUCACUAUCUUAUCUUGUGGUUUUAUUUAUCGUGCUUAAAGAUGCCAGCACCCUCCGCCCUGGUUAUAAUCAACUCAAAAAUAUAUCUGUACGCAAAUCAAAGCCAAGACAACCUUCGUUUGUCAUUUAUAAUCUAUAGCUAAGCGAGCGAUGGAAGGGCGAUGGAAGGGCUUAACGAUAUAACAAGAUUGGAUCCGUGAGAUAGUUAAACGUAGCUAAUAAGACCAUGGAAUUCUACUAGACUAGAUCAGUAUUUGAAUUACAAUUACUCAGAUGAACGAUGAGUUCAAAUGGAAAAAAUAAUGAAAACUCAGCUGCACACUGGCAAAUGACACAAAGGGUCAACUAAACAGAUGAAAUUUGCUGCAUCCUAUUUUAACAAGAAAAAUACUUCCUAUACGCCCAAAAGUUAAGAGUCUAUCUUAAACCUCCCAUUCCAAGGGCCAAAUUUUUUACAGUAAUUACUCAAAAAUCUCAAAAAAAGAAAAGGCAGGAAUAUUCUUAACGGCUUUCCCCAGCAGAAAAAUGAGAGAGAGAGAGAGAGGUGCAAAAGUAGUCUCCAUGAAUCACAUUAUUCUCAAAAUAACAAAUAGCACAUAUUGACAUUAUAAAAGAGAAAGCAUUGCUGUACAUAAUAAUACACUGCAAACUGCAAUAUGCAGAACUUCUUUGUUAUCGAACAAUAAAACAAAAAAGACAGAAAAAAACAAAGUAGCUUACAGCACACACUUUUUUGGAAGCUCCUUCCAACAGAUUUGCAUAAUCCUCCUGCUUCGACAUCUUUGAUUCCCAUCUAUAAGUAGUAGGAGAGAGCACGAAUCUCUUUUUUCUUGAUUGACACCAACAACCAAUGCUAGGAAAAACAUUAUUUGUGUUAUCUUCCAAGCAUAUGUAAAAAUCAGGCUAUUGAGACAUAUACUGCAUGUCGCUUGUGGAGCUCUGACCUGGUAGGAGCCAAGCGAAGAAACCGACAUUCGUCUCGCGUCUCAACCUUUGUGUCGAGUACUCGACCAGCAUGCUCCACAGAUCACACACCGUCCACCCAUGGCCGGAUAUCCACUCAGUCACCUGCUCAAUAUUGGUCCAAUCAUAAACCAAAUUCUAGGGUUAAUAUUCUACAGAAGAUGAACUGUGGCAGUCAAACGCUCUCCUUUCUAAAACUCAUAAUAUAAUGUAUAUAAUCUUACAGUAAUAAGAUUCCCUCAAGUUUAAAUUUGUAGAUUUUAUUUCCUUUUUUGGUUUCAACAACUCAGAAGAAAUGAACAUGGAAAAGAAAUCACAAAAUUGCAGGAUUACCUGUUGUAGUCUCUCCAAUGAUGCUUCUCCAAAUGUGUAGUAAUGGAUAAAGGGCCUAAGUGCCUGCAUAGCGGAAUUAAUUAAAAAUUGAAGGAAAAAAUAUUUUAAAGAUCAGUUUUGUCUUUCGAGGAUGUCUAUAACAGAGCUAACACCACUAAGAUAAUAUGUAGUCUCCGAGAGCAGAAACAUGUAAAUGGUACCUGAGAUGCAGCGAGCCACUGAAUCAUGCUCUUCAUUUCAGGGUCUCCGCCAAAUGCCCCACAGCCCCAGUUACCGGUUGCAAUCCCAAUACUCUCCAAAUCGAUUUGUUGAGACCUUUCUUCAUUAUUCUCCGUCAAGUCUGAAUUACUUGAGCAUCUAUUUUCAGAAUUAUCUUGAUUCUCCAUUUCUUGAGAUGUUUUACAAACCUGCUUAAUGAGACUAUAAAUCAUUUGAAACAAGAAUUUUUUUACAGAAGGGAAAUUCUAAAAAUAUUACUCGAGAUUUUAGUAUACACACCCACCCCUUCAAGCACAAGUAUUUAUCUACAUGCUGCUAAAAAGUGUGUAUUAGCAUUGAUGCCCUCUAAAUAAUGUGUGUGUGUGUGCGCGCGUGUGUGUCCUUUCAUAAACAGAGCACAAACAAUCUUUUUGCUCAACUAGGGUACAACACCAGGUAACUUUGUACUCUUUUUAUUUGUUUACCUACUAUUGGUGCUAAGACAUUUCAUUUCAAAGGUAUAUAUGCCCAAAUAUGAAAAAGUUUAUGGGGUAUAAUGAUCAUUAUGUCAUAAGGAUUAAAGGCGCAUUAAGCAAUUGUUCUGCAUAAAUUAAAGAAAUAUGCAUGCAAUGUUGGCAAAAUUAUGGUUAAUCUCUUACAGAAAGAUCUCAGAAGGUUACCACAGAAGCAUCAGCAUUGCUCUCGUGAGCAUAUUCUCGACAUGAAUCCACCAUCUGAAAAUGCUUGAGGUAGCAGCGAUGUUUCGAUCUAUCAAAAAAUCCACAGAAAGCUUUGUUUGUCUCCCUGCUCAAAAAUCACAAGAAAAAUAAAAUUUCAACUGAACCAACAAAAAGUUUCAAUGCAUGAUAGAAAUGAAUCAUACAAUCUUCAAGAAGUUUAGCUCUCCAUUAAAAUAUAAACAUCAAAAAACACCUUAUUUAUGUCAGGAAACACUUGAUUUUCACAAUUAUACUAUCAAUCAAAUUAUAUCUUCACAAACAAAAUCAACUCAAAAGGAUAAUACUCGAAGGCGCUUGAACACAAUUUUUAAUAUCGAAUAAGCAGUAGGCACGAUCAAGUCCCACAUUUGUAAGAAGCAUGAUACAUAUUUAUCUGGCGGAACUGAAUAGUGGCUAAUGACCAUUCGAGUAAGAGUAGGUCCACUCUCGCAAGUAGCAACAAAACAACAUAGAAGAAGAUAAUACAGUGAUACACAGCCACAACCAUUUUCCCACUACAUUAUAAGUGUAAUAAAUGAUGGAUCUCCAGACUCUUGGAUCAACUGUAUGUCAUGCAAGUGAAGUGAGUAAUGAAGGCAUGAAAUAGAAAAGAAACUUGGAUGCCUUGAUUUAUUCUGUACUUCGCCGUCCUCUUUAUGCAGAGCACCACAAUCAUAUACAUCUUUCCUUCAAUUAAUUCCAUUAGUCAAUCUAUUGUUUGGCCGCCCCAACCUGAAGCAACCUCAUUGCCAUCCCCACAGCAAAAAGAUUAUAGUCGGUAAAAAAAAAAAAAAAAAAAAAGACAGUACAAUAAUUGACCUAUAAUUUUCUGUUAGAUUGUCCUUUUGUCUUAGUACCAUUUGGUUCGGGUAUAAGCAAGAACUAGCUAUUACAGGGAUAGGUACAAGUAUGAGGAUAAGAAAAAUAGCGUUUGGAUGAAAAUUGGGUUGUUCCCGGGGAUAAGAAAAAUAUUAGGUAGUUUUAUAUAGAAAAUGGAGGUGUUGGUGGGGAUAACUGAGAACUACUAUUCUCGGGUAAAAAAUUAGCUUUUGGGUAUAAAAGGGGGAAUAAGGGCCUAUCCCUAUCCCUAUCCCCUAACCAAACGCUCUAAAGUACUGCGAAGGUGAGCAUGAGAGAUUAUGGACGAUGACGUAUCUUUUCCCGUGAUUAUGCUACAAAUAAUGGAGUUGUUGUUUGGUAUUCUGCUACUUGGGGAUAAAAGAUCAAAUAAUCUUAUCAAUGCAAGAUGGUUAAACUAAUCAAAGCUUCUAGAAUGAGUUCGUUAUCUGUUAUGAACAACAGAAUUUGUUUCUUGUUAUCUUUUGGUUCUUUGAAAUAGGAAUCUACCGUUGAACCUUUAUCAUCAUCAAACAAGUCAAAGAGUCUUCAUCAAAAGGAAAAGCUAAGAAAGUUCAACCAAGAGGUACUGAUUUUUUUUUUUUUAAAAAAAAAAGAAUAUGAAAGAAUCUAAAAAGAGAUUAGAAAGAAGCGAAGCAACUUCGAUUGUGAAAAAAAAAAAGUCCAAAAUCCAAAAGCUUUUUCUUUUGAUCUUGACAAUACAAGAAAUAAAAAAUCAUACCUUAGAAGACAAUCAGUUUUAUACUGUGCCAGUCUUGGACUGUCCAAAGCAUCUAUAGCUAUAAUCCUUGUUUUCCGUCUACCCAGUAAAUCAAAUGGCUUCCUAUCUAUGUAGUCACCCACAAAACGAAAGGACGAACUGUACCUGUCGAAAAAGCAGUAUUGUUCAGCAGAUAUUUAGCAAGCUUGCUAUAGUAGCUGCAAUAAUUGAAUUGUAAUACAAAAUAAUGGAAAGAAGCAGAACGGUCAAUUACCAAAAUUGCUAAAAUUUUAAAGUAAAUUACCCAAUGUUCUAUCUCAACUUGAGAUUAAAUUACAUUGCAAUUCCUUAUUUAAGUCAGAAAUUUGAGGACAAAACCAACCACUCACUUUUUCCAAGUAUUUUGCUGUCAGUGUAAAAAGACGUACAAACAUCUCAAUUAAAUAGUACAAAAGAAAAUACUUCUAUCUACGAGCAUAUGCAUACUUUUCAGACUGUCUAAACUAUCAAAUCUAACUUCUUUUUUUCUUGUCAAUUUUGAGAAUGGUAAGUAGUCAGAGCAUGUAAACGUAAUAUCAGAAUCAAAUGCACGAGCGCAUAGUAUGUAACCCACAGCAAAAUUUCUGUUUAGUCAGGUAUAGGAGAAAUCUGUAAAUUAACUUCAAGGAUUGAAAAAUAAACAGAAGACUAACCCCAUAUACUGUGAAAACCUUUCAACACCAACAAUUUCUAUAGCUUCAUUAUCUCGCAUGGAAGCCAUAAAUAGCAUGCCUGCAAUCAGUUCUGGAUUGAUCAUGAAUCGGAUCUCUUCCUGUUCAGCAAAACAGGAAAUUAGAAAUGAAAAGAAGCAAGACAAAAUUAAAGCCGUCAUUCCUGGAGAAAAUGAGAUUAUAGAAAGAAGCUACUAGUUUAGUUGCUAACAAAAAGAAUUUAGAUAAUUACACAAAUUUAGAACAUUAUACAGUACAAUAUCAGGACAUCAUGGUCAUAGCAAUCAGAGUGACAAACUGUAGACCUGCAAUAAAUAAUAAAUUGCAACAUAUAGCUCCUAUGGCGAGCAUAUAGGCUAUUAAGCACUACGACUGUUUAUUUAUAUAUGUAAGUUCACCACUGUUUCCAUAGGGUGCAUUUCAUAGUAUGCCGACGCCACUUCCACCAUGGCAUAUACAGCAGGGUUCCAGAAGCGACAAUAACUAUACCUACUUUUUUAUAGAACAUAGGCAUCAGAAGGUAUUAGUUCAAGUAUAUAAUUUAAUUUGUAUUUUUCUUUCCAUGUUCGUUUGAUGUUGCUAAGGGGCUGUUUGGUUCUACGUAAAAAUGGGAAAAAAAAAAUUUCCUUGGAAAAAAGUUUUCCGUGGAAAAUUUGUUUUAUGAUUUUUAGUGUUUGGUUUGUAGGAAAAGAAAACUAGUUUUCAGUUACAGUUGUUUGGUUAAAUGGUUGAAAGGAAAAUAUAGUAUUAUAUGUAUUCUAUAUAUUAUUUAUUUAUAAUUUAUAAUAAUUAUUAGGCUAUAUUUAUUAUUAUAAUUUAUAUUUAUGAAUUAAAUAUAUCAAAAUUAUAUAAUAUGAUAAAUUGAUAAGUAUUUAAUAUAAUAUAUGUAAUAGUCUGCAUAUAAUACUAUAUAAAAGCAUAUAAUUUUUAUAAUUAAAAAUAUAAAAUUAGUUUUUCUUUAUGAUUGUUUGGUUGAAAGAAAAAAAAUUAUAAAUAAAAAAAUAUUAUUUAUAUUUUUUCUUAUUAUAUAUAUUAUUUAUAUAUAAUAAUUAUUGAUAUAUAAUAAUUAUCAUAUUACAUAUAUUAGUAUUAUAAUUUUUACUUAUAAACAAAAUAUAUUUAAAAUAUAUUAUACAUUAAUUAUGUAAUAUAAUAUAUAAUAGUAUAUAUUUAAUACUACAAAACAAAUUAUUAUGUAUUUAUAAAUAAUAUUUAUAUUAUAAAAUAUUACACAAUAAUAUAUUUUAAAAAUAAAAUUAUAUAUAUAUAUAUAUAUAUAUAUAUAUAUAUAUAUAGAGAGAGAGAGAGAGAGAGAGAGAGAGAGGUGCUUCUAUACUAUCAAUAGUAUAGAAGCUCCUAUACUAUAGUGUUUUAAACCGUUGGAUCCUCUUUUGAGAUCCGUGCACAGAUUUGGGGGAUUAAGUGGGAUGAAGUGGGAUGAAGCUAAUAACACGGUUAACAGAGAAAUAAAAGAGGAAAGAGAAUCCCACUUCAAACCUCUCUCUCUCUCUCUCUCUCUCUCCGUUAAUAAAGAAAUUAAAGAGGAGAGAGAAUCCCACUUCAAACCUUACUCUCUCUCUCUCUCUCCAUUAACAGAGAAAUUAAAGAGGAGAGAGAAUCUCACUUCAAACCUCUCUCUCUCUCUUUCUCCCCCACAUCUUUCUCUCUUUCUUUCCCAUUUCUCCCAGACGGCCUCAACUUCCACCAUCUCUGGCUCCCCUCCCUCACCCCGCUCCUUCCCCCCGCCCCCACCUGCCGGCCCCACAACCCUAGCCGCGCGAGACACUACCACCCGCCGGCGCCGCUCGUGGACACUCCAACCCUAGCCGCGCGACACUGCUCCGCGAAGCCCUCCAAACCCACUCGCGGACAUUGCCUGGACGCCGCUUCGACGUUGCUCCCCGACACCCUCCAAAUCCGAGGACACCUCAUGGACCACAACAACAACAAAAAUCAUGACCAGGUUAUUUUAAUCCCUAGUUAACUAAAAUAUUUUUUUCUUUAUAUUAAAUGGUUGAUAGGAAAUUAUUUAUUUCUUAAGUUAUAGAUUCAUAUUUGUUGAUAGGAAAUUAGUUACAAGUAUUUGUUUUUUCUCUUUAUGAUUUUUAUUGCAAGUAAUAAAUAGAAAAUAUGUUACAUUUUUUUUGGGGAUAAAAAUUUAUUACCUAUACAUUUUCUCUUUAUGGUACUUGUUUAAGACACUAAAUAAAUUUUUUUUAAGAAUCAUAUGAGAUGAUUAUAAUAAUUAAAUAUUAUAGACUUCUAGCUAACUAUUUAUACUUACUUUUAUAUUCCCUGUUUAUGAUUUUAAUGUUAUAGAUGGAUGAUGCUUUUCAAUCUGAAAAUAUUAGAAGAAACAGUGAGAAUAUGAAUUCAGAUGGUUUAUCUAUAUGUGGUCAAAGCAAUGCUCCAGAAAAUAUUAGUGAUGAUUUUGAUGCCGAUUUAGAUAACCAUGAUGAACCAAACAGUUUGAUGCACGAUAGGGAUGCAAUGAAAGUUGUAAGUGAUGACCCCUAUAUUGGUAAAGAGUUUAACAGUGCUGAGAAAGCACGGACUUUUUAUAACUCAUAUGCAUUUCGACUCGGAUUUAGCAUAAGAAAGGCUAGUAAAUAUAAGGCAAGGAAACAAGAUGGAAUGAUGAUAAGUAUGCUCUUGACUUGUUCAAAAGAGGGUCAAUCUAAAGUCCGAGACUAUGACAAGCGUAGUAGUACAACCAAGGUUUCAAAUCUCGUCCGUGCCCCUAAGAAAGGGGCACGGUACAGGGGGGGNNNNNNNNNNNNNNNNNNNNNNNNNNNNNNNNNNNNNNNNNNNNNNNNNNNNNNNNNNNNNNNNNNNNNNNNNNNNNNNNNNNNNNNNNNNNNNNNNNNNNNNNNNNNNNNNNNNNNNNNNNNNNNNNNNNNNNNNNNNNNNNNNNNNNNNNNNNNNNNNNNNNNNNNNNNNNNNNNNNNNNNNNNNNNNNNNNNNNNNNNNNNNNNNNNNNNNNNNNNNNNNNNNNNNNNNNNNNNNNNNNNNNNNNNNNNNNNNNNNNNNNNNNNNNNNNNNNNNNNNNNNNNNNNNNNNNNNNNNNNNNNNNNNNNNNNNNNNNNNNNNNNNNNNNNNNNNNNNNNNNNNNNNNNNNNNNNNNNNNNNNNNNNNNNNNNNNNNNNNNNNNNNNNNNNNNNNNNNNNNNNNNNNNNNNNNNNNNNNNNNNNNNNNNNNNNNNNNNNNNNNNNNNNNNNNNNNNNNNNNNNNNNNNNNNNNNNNNNNNNNNNNNNNNNNNNNNNNNNNNNNNNNNNNNNNNNNNNNNNNNNNNNNNNNNNNNNNNNNNNNNNNNNNNNNNNNNNNNNNNNNNNNNNNNNNNNNNNNNNNNNNNNNNNNNNNNNNUUGUCAAAAAUUGUCGCACCGCGAAGCUUUCGGUGAAUCAAGAUAACAAAAAUCGAUCUCCUAAACAAAUUUUGAUCAGAUAUUUUUAAAAAGAAUAACAAAAUAAAAAAAUAUGAAUGUAAUAUCGGGAAUAUAUAACUUUCUCACAAAUAUCAGCAAUACUUAUAUCAACAUUUUCAAAAUAAAUCUUGUAUCUGCCGAUGAUAAUAUGCCAUAUGAUCAAGAGCGACGAUCUAUGUCGAAUUAAACAGUCAUCUCUAUGUAAAGAUGUAAAUUUAAAUAAUUAUUAUACUUGUGGAUUUUAUUAUUGUAUUUUAAUUUCUAUUCUACAUCAAGUAUAGUCAUAUUUUACUUACAAAAAGCUUACAUGCAUAUUAAUUGAUGAGUAUAGUAAAGUAUACAUAAUAAAUAUUCAUAAUUAUUUAUUUAAAUCUUUCAAAAUAACAUUAUAAGAGUUUAUUGGAACUAAAAAAACUUAAAUAAGUCUGUACCAAAACGUGCCAGUAGGAGAUCAUGCGUAUCUAUCGGCACGCAAGCGUGCCUGUGCCGUACCGUGCCAGGGACAUAACGGCACGCCCCCGUGCUACGGCACUUUAAACCUUGAGUACAACUACACAAGGCCAAGUCACACCAACAAAAGAAUUUUCACACAAACGAUCAGGAUGUAAAGCCCUUAUGAGAGUAAAGAUGAUAAAAGAAGGUAAAUGGGUGGUAACAAGAUUUAUAGAAGAGCAUAAUCAUGACUUAAUUGCAAGCCCAACGAAAACACGUUUUUUGCGUUCUCAUCGCUCUAUCUCCAAUGAGCAAAAACAAGUAAUACAACUGUUAAGAGAUCAAAAUAUUUCAACAAGUCAAAUUAUGUCUUACAUAGCAGCAAGAGAUAGGGGAUCGCAAAAUAUCAAUUUUACUAUGAAAGAUUUAAGUAAUGAGAUUGUGUCAACAAAUAGGGGACUUGUUGGAGUUGAUGUUGCAAAUGCUCUCAAUUAUCUUCGCGCAACUCAUGUCUCCGAUCCUUCAUUUUUUUACUCAAUUGAGGUUGACGAUAAUCAUAUGACAAAAAAUAUCUUUUGGAUAGAUGGGAGAUCGAGAUUGGCAUACCAACUUUUUAAUGAUGUUGUGACAUUUGAUACAACUUAUAUGACAAACAAGUAUAUAAUGCCAUUUGCUCCAUUUGUUGGUGUUAAUUAUCAUAGACAAUCAAUCUUUCUUGGAUGUGCCCUCAAGGGAUGAAACUGCCGAUACUUUUUGUUGGUUGUUUCAUACAUGGUUACAGGCAAUGUCGGGAGUGCAUCCAAAAGCAAUUAUUACAGACCAAGAUCCGGCAAUGAGAAAAGCAAUUGGGCAAGUUUCUCCCAAUACUGUGCAUAGAUGUUGUCAAUGGCACAUAAUGAGAAAGGCAAGAGAACAUUUGGGAGUAUUAUAUAACAAAAAGGAAGGUUUCAAGAAUGAGCUAAAAUCAUGUAUUAAUUAUAGCUUGACAAUAGAAGAAUUUGAAAUUAGGUGGAAUGAGAUGCUCGAUAAAUAUGACUUGCAUAGUAACAACCACCUUCAAUUAUUAUGGAAUACUCGGCAUCAAUGGGCUCCUGUAUUUUUUAGGGACACUUUUUUCGCCGAUACAUACAAACAUUGAUAAAUUUUUCUUUAAAAAUUAGAAAAAAAAUAAAAAUUUUAGCACAAAUCUUGUAUUUUUUUACAUAAUUUUUAAUUUUUAUAAAAAUCAGUAAAAGAAUAUAAAAUUGUACCAAGAAUCGUGUAUUUAAAUAUUUUUUUGCAGAAAAAAUAAAAAUUUAUUUAGUACCAAUCUUGUAGAAUUUUUUUAAUAAAAAUAUAAAAAAAUACGUAGAAAAAAAGAAAAUACAAGUAUCUUGUAUUUUCUUAAAAGAUCCAUAGCUCAUGACGGCUUUUUUUAUAAAUUUUCAAAAAAUUACAUUAAAAUAUAAAAUUUUAAUUCAAUGAAAAAAAAAAUUAGAAAAAUAAAAUAAAAUAAUCAUUUUCUAUAAUAGUAAAAAAUUGCAUAUGCUCAUCAUUUUAUUUUUUAAAUAAUUUUAAAAAAUUUCAAAAAAUUCAGCUAAAAAUAGAAAUAAAUAUGUGGAAAAAAAUAUUUGACUAACUUUUGUCGAGGAGCUGUGUCGUUUGGAGGGCUUCGCGGAGCAAUGUCGUGCGGCUAGGGUUGUGGGGCCGGUAGGUGGGGACGGAGGGAAGGAGUAGGGUGAGGGAGGGAGAGCCAGAGAUGGUGGGAGUUGAGGCCCUCUGGGAGAAAUGGGAAAGAAAGAGAGAGAGAUCUGGGGGUGGGGGGGGGAGGGGGGAGAGAGAGAGAGGUUUGAAGUGAGAUUCUCUCUCCUCUUUAAUUUCUCUGUUAAUGGAGAGAGAGAGAGACAGAGAGGUUUGAAGUGAAAUUCUCUCUCCUCUUUUAUUUCUCUGUUAACGGUGUUACUAGCUGCAUCCUACUUCAUCCAACUUAAUCCCCCAAACCUGUGCACCGAUCUCAAAGAGAAUCCAACGGUUUAAAACACUAUAGUAUAGGAGCUUCUAUACUAUUGAUAGUAUAGAAGCACAACUCUCUCUCUCUCUCUCUCUUUCUCUCUCUCUCUCUCUCUCUCUCUAUAUAUAUAUAUGUAUAUAUAAUGGAAAAGGGUGAGAGAGUCCCGUGGACUCUCUCACGCGGUCCACGAGGUGAGGAUGACCUCGUGGACCGCGUGCUCAAAAAGCUCGUGAGCCGCAAUUUCUGUCCAUGGGUUUUCGUUUCCUGCAGACGGCAUGCGAAAAACGAAAACUCAAAUUUUUCCCCAAAAUCUGUAAAAUAACUUUUCCAAAAAAAAAUUUACGGACAACCAAACAUGGGAAAAAAAUUUUCUUCGGAGGUGGAAGCAAAUUUCAGUUGAAAGUUGAAACAUAACUUUUUUCUUUAUAGUUUAAGAUAUAUUUAUACAUGUGAUUUCUUUACUUUUUUGUGGUUAUUUUAUUUUUGUAUGGCUAUUUUGGAUUUUUUUAAUGUAAAAUAUCUAUUUAAACUAGGCUUGUUAAGAAUGUUUUAUUUUUGUUAGAUGUGUGCCUCACCUUCUUGAGGCACGAGGCGCACCACUGCGCCUCACUUUCUUGAGGUGCACGCCUCACGGUGCGCCUCGCGCCUAGCUCCAAAAGGCCUUUUGUGCCUUUUUGCACCUUGCGGCUUUUAAAGCACUGUGCAUGAUAGACUAAUAUAUGUGCUGACACAUAUUCCAAGAAGUGGGUCCCUUCUAAACAUAUUAUGAAAUAAUGAAACACCAUCAAGUAAUUAUUUGAUUGCACAUGGUAAUGAAUUUAUGCCAUACAAGAAUAAUUUCAUACCAAACACUGAUCAGGUGUGGAUGCACCUCAAUCGGUACAGGCCAAAUCUAGAAGUAUAAAGUAACUUUUGGCUAUGUAACCCUCUACCUAAUUACAAUAAAGUCAACUGAAUAAUCAUAUGCCUUAAAUGGUAUCGAAGAAUGAAAAUGUCUUACUUCUCCCCUUAAGAGUGAAUAUUGCACUAUGUUAUCAACUGAAAUACAAAUGUAGACCUCAUGUGUAGAGGAAUGUGUAUUUCAUACUCGAUUGCAUCUGUCACUGAAUGGUUCAAUAGCUUAAUAAAUUAUAUAAAAAAUGGGCAGCAUAUCCAAUCAUAAGGAACUUAAAACUGAGCAAAGUGGCAUCCACCUAUGAGAAGUUUAAGAAAGAAAACCUGCACACAGCCUCUAUGGAGUGCGCCUCCUCCCAAAUAUUCAUUUGCAAAGUCCACCUCAAGAGCUUCAUCUUGUUGAUCUUCUAUCAAGCCCGCAGACAGCACCUGCUGACAAAAAGAGAGUAGUAAUGUUUUCUUCCUAUUCUAAGAAAGUGCAUUUCUUCUUAAAGAAAGGUUGAAUACCCUUCAAAUGACAUUAUGCUUAGUGGUACGAACCUCUAAUUCUUCAGAAAGAUUAAAUUGCACGCUCAACAACAGAUAUAAGAGAAUAGCAGAAUAAGGGAGCACUAAAUUGUUUAAUUUUCUGUUUAAUGUAUAUGGACUGCGUAUUCUCCAGAUUUGAAAUACAUGAAAGCCCCAAUUGAUAAAGACCAGCACUAAGUGUGGAGAGAGAGAGAAAGAGUCUGUGUACUCUCCAGAUUUAAAAAACCACUGUUAUGAGAAAGUAAAUCAACAGGUACUGCUGACUAUUUGAGAUGUAGUUUCCAACCUUGAACUGGCAUAGCGAAGCUUUAGAUAUCCUCCAAUCAUCAGCCUCGGGAUAUGAAAUGCCAGAGGAACUGCGUUGAAGAGGAAUAACUUUCCUCUCAAAUGAAACAAAACCUGUAGGUGUGGACAAACUUAUCCUCUCAAAGUAGUGAAUUAGGCAUCUUACUUUCUGUUCUUGGCUCUGUCUUGCAUUGGGGUACAGGUUCCUGGAGAAGUGUAAUGGUACAAAUCAUUAGGCAGAAACACUAUAGAAAGAAAGAUAAAGAGUUUCCAAUGCACGAAAUUAUUACAACUAAAAACCAUUUUAUGGGAAGAAGAAUAAAUAUAGAUUUUCCAUAUAUACCCUUCCAAAUAUGAGAAACUAAGCAAAUACCACGCAAAGUUGGUAUUUGUAUGCAUAUUUGUAUUCAUCAGGGUAUAUCAGCAAAAACUGUUUUUUGCAUGGAUGCCCAAGCAAGAAACACAUGUAAUUUAGUAAGCUUUUCAACAAUAAAAAAUGCAAAUACCAAGUUUACAGGGAUACUUAUCCAAUUUAGCAUAUUUACAGGGGUAAAUAUAGAAAAAUCAAAAAAGUAAAAAAGCAAUUAUCUCACGUAUUCUGAAUCACAACAAGAACAGAAAAGAGAACCAAAGCUGUAAUUUAGAAUAUCAAUGACAAGACUAAGGUCACAUAAUUAACAGGACAGAACAAAGACAACAAGUUCAUUGACACAAAAAAGAAUAGAGGCCACAAGUUUUGUACAUAUGAAUCUCUGCAACAUGGCUUUUUUACAAGUUAAUAGACAAGCAGUUCAUUGCUUUCCUUACCAAAAUAAGAGUAGAUUAGAGAUCUUAGCUCAUAAGUUUCAACUUUCAAGUCUGACAAUUCUACGUAUGAGCAGAACAAACAAGCUGGGAAAAAUUAAACAAGCAGUGAGAAACAGCAUACGCAAACAAGUAGUCAAAAUUGAUGGCCGGAAGAAGUUUGGCAUCCCUAUUGCUGGUAGGAAACAGGCAAAACAGUGCACAAGCGAGAAGAGCGCCUAUCAAUUCCUGAAAUUUAAGAAGAUAGACAAAAUUACGAACAAUAAUCUACAGACCUGCAUGCAAGUAUGCCUAUGUACGUGCUGUCUAUUGUUUGUAUAUAAAAAAGCUUAUUUCAAUAAUAAAUUAAGCUCUACAAAUUAGAUAGGCUAUAUGACCAUAAAAGAAUCCAUCUACUAAAAAGUAAAUAUACUUGGCCAGAACUUGUAAAUGUUAUUUAGGGCUAAUAGAACAAGCGUAAGAAUUAAGGCCACCUGACUUAAAAAGACAAUGCCUGCUUCUUGCGAGCCCAAUACACGAAGCCCAGCUUUUUCUUUACCAAAUACUUCAUCAGAUUUCUGAUAAUGAGCCUCCAAAAGAGAAGGUAACUGCAGUAAUAAUCUCGCCAAAGUCGGAACAAUCUCUCCGAACCAAACCCUCGCAUCCAUUCUGGACAUCAGCUGCAGUAUUAGAAGAAACUCAAGUCACCAUCGAUUCUACUUUUGAUGAUAAAUAUCUAAUAUCCGUGUUAAACAUAUGAGUAUUCUGUAGUCCCAAAAUUUAUUGCCUUUUUUCUAACUCAAAAUUCCCUCUCGUACGUUAAAGGUUGUGCGCUGCACUUGAUUUUUAUUAGUUUCUAUUAUAUCUAGAAACUAAUAAAUGAUCAACAAAUUGUCAUUUUGAUUAAUGACAGCCACUGAUUUACUAUCAUCAUUAUGUCAUACUGGACAGCAUGUGGUGGCACAUACCAUAUCGUUGGUUAUUACCAUGGUACAGGGGUAUCUAAGCUAACCCCUGCGCCACUACGCGCGAGUUCAUUAUACUCUCGUUUUUAGUUUUCUUCUACUAGAUGAGCAAAAGAUGCUUCCCAACACUCAUUUUCCUAACUCUUCAUUAAAAGAGAAAGAAAGUGCUAUAAUGUUACGCGAUCAAAAGCUUAACAUCGCUUGUGAUGGCUACAUCCACAACAAAAAUCAUAAUAGAUGCAGAAAUUUCAUAUAGAGAUCAAGCACUUGUCUGGUUCAGUGAAUAAUCCAUGGAACAAAGCUUAAUCAGCCAAAAGUUCAAGAACUACCCUUCAUUCAGCCCCAUGAUAUGUUUGGGAAAAUGCAUAUAUAUCCCUGCAAAGUCACGAAAUUGAGGAUUCAUUCAUGCAAAGUUUCAAUUCUCAAAUAUAUCCCUCCAAAGUUCAAAGCUAUUCAUCCAAUUGACUAAUGUUAGUUGGCUGUUGACUUUUCAUCUCCAAGAUUGGUAUGCCCCCGAAAAAGAAAGAGCAAAUUUUAAGAUUUUGACAAGGGUUCAGUAUAAGAUUAUUGAUCCAUAUCAAAUGACACAAGAGAAUAGAAUGCUUGUUCAUAGGCAGAAUGGUCAUUUUGACAGAUAUAUUUGCAAAUUUCAAACAUUUAAAUUUUCGAGUGACCAAUCUGCAACUCCGUUCCAGCAAUUGUUCGCCCUACAAGCUACAAGCAGGGGUUCGAAGAAACCCUAAUAGCCACAAUGCGAAGCCAAAACAGAGAGUUGGGAAAGGGGUUUAAGGGACAAAUUUUCAAGGGAUAAACCCGCAAAUCCAUUCCCACAUAUUUUUUUUCGCCCAACAAGCUUACAAGUAGCAAUCUACAACUAGGGAUCCGAGAAACCCUAACAACCACAAUCCGGGGCCGAAGAAGAGAGGUGACGGGGGAAGAAAGACAGAGGGUUUUGACCUCGUCGAAGAAGAGGGCGAAUCCAUCGGCGGCGGCGUGAGCAAGAGGGUGUUGGGAGAGGCCGAUGGAGUCGCGGAGGUCGAGUAUGGCGUCGAAGAGGACCUCGCCAGAGGCGACGCGGCUCACGUCGGGGCCGAGGGCUAGGGCUUUGAGGGACUCGAGCGCCCUCGGUGGCCAAAAUAGGGCGAAGGAGGAGGAGGAGGACGAGGAGGAGGAGGAGGAGCGGAGAAUGAGGGGGAGGUAGGGGAGGAUCGACUCCACAUCCUCCCACUUCGCCAUUGCUGUUUCUUCUCGAGAAAGGAGGGAGAAGACGAGAAGAAAUUGUUGAAUAUAUAUCAAAAUGGUAAAUUGCACUGUUGGUCCUCAAACUAUGAGUCUGUUAUACUUUGAUCCUUAAAUUUGCUAAUCUUACAACUUGGUCCAUCUAAAUGCUAUAAUUAACACACUAGUCCUAUCAACUUCUUUCUUUUUUAAAAAAACUAAAAAUAAAAAAAAAAGAUUGCUUAAUCCUUUAAAUCGAUUGGAUUAAAGAUUGUAAAGAUUACACCUUGUUUGAAUUGUACACUUAGCAUUUCUUUUAAUUUCUUAUAAUUUCUGACUCAAAUUUUUAAAAUUAGAGUAAACAAGUCGCACAAUCUAAUUUAAUUAGCUAAAUAAUCUCAAAGCCUUGUAGUUUAACAGAACUUAAAUUUGAAUUUUAUAUUUGAAUCUAUGAACUAAAUAGAUAGGGUUUAGGUCGUGAUAAAAGGUCCUGGCAUUCGCAAUUUAUAUCUUCUCGGAAGGUCUAACAAAACUCAAAGAUUUAAUAAAUAAUAUAGAGUCCGGCUGGGAUACUAUCGAUAGCACCAAGCGUUUGGUGUUAUCAAGUUUUUCGCAGUUAGAUUUAAUUCUUUGACUAUUUUUAUCCGUUAGAUUAUGUUAUUAAACUAAUAACUCACUCAACCCAAGGGGGGCCCACAUCAUCUUAACUGUACAUUUUUUUAUCCAAUGGCUGAAAACCUAAUAGGACCAAUAGCUUCGUGUUAUUGAUAGUAUUACCAGCCUAGUUUAAUAAUAAUAUAUCUAUACAAACUAUAAAUUGACAGUUUUGUAUGGCAUACGUGUCAAAUUCUCCUCCUUCCUGAAAAUGUAAUUCUCCCAUCUCUUGGAAACGUACAUUCUCAAAUCUUCCCUCCUUGAGAAUAUGCCAAAUCUUCCCUCCUUGGGAAUCUACCAAUUUUUUUUUGAAAAUCUACCAAAUCCUCCCUUCUUGGGAAUCUACCAAAAUUUUUAAAAUCUUUCCCCUCUUGGAAAAGUACCAAAUUUUCCCCCUCCUCCUUGAGAAAGUAAUAUAAAAAUCUGCUUAGGGAUUUUGCAGGGGAGGAGGGAAAGAGGGGAGAGGCGGCUACGCUUUUCGGUGAGGACUGUAACUCCUCAUGGGGCGGUGAUGGAGGAGGAGGAAAAGAUAAAGAUGAUAGCCUCUGCGGUGCUGAAGAGAUGGGUCGUGUAGGGUCUCAGACAACCUAUGAUAUCUGCUUCUUCUCAUGCUUAGUCUUCUGCGUCUUUUUUUUUCCUGAUUAUCUUAUUAGAUUUGCUAAAAAAAGUGUUUAUAAUGUAUUUUUCGCUAAAAAAAUAUUUUUUAAGAGAAAAAGAAGUUAUUCUAUUUGUUGUGACUUAAUUUUGAGUAAAUCUCUAAUAUAUAAAUAAUUUUUUUAUUAUUUAUUAAUUAUUACUCUAUAUUUACUGUAGAUUUUUUUUUUUCGCAGCGAAGCGUGGGUCUUUAACUAGUAUAUAUAAUGGAAGAGAAACUAUGUAUAUAUAGAGGGAGUUUUCAUCUAAUACAAGAUAACAACAAAGUGCUAUAUUUUACCACAUAGCAUUUUGCACAAAAAAAACAAAAAAGCACAAUUUUUAAUAUUUUUUAGUAUAUUUAAUUUUAUUUUCUAAAAAACUGAAAAACAAGUCACUCACCAAAAACGUUGUUAUUUAAACUACAGAACAGCAAAGUGCAAAUUAGGGAUGUCAACAUGUAGGAUUCGGGACGGAUUUUCCAAACCCGACUCCAAACGCGAAUUCUGAACCCGACAGAUUUUAAAAAUCCAUAUCCAAACCUGAAUCCCACCAAAAAUCCGAACCCAAAAUCCGACCCGAAACAAUUAUUUUUCUGUUCAAUAUUUCAAAAUAUAUUAUAUUAAAUCUAAAUUUUUAAAAUAGAAAUUUAAAUAUAACAUCAAAUUUUUAUAUACAUAUUAUAUAUAAUGUAAAAUAAAUUCGGGUUCGGGUUGGGUAUAGUCAAAAUAUAUAUCCGUAUCCAUAUCCGUCAAGUUUUUAUUUUUGAUAUCCAUAUCCGAAAUCAUAUCCAUAUAGCAUCAGAUAAAUUGUUCCGUUCAGGUUCAGAUUCGGAUAAAAUUUCGGGUAUCCGUAUUCAUUGACAUCCCUAGUGCAAAUGCAGUAACGCGGUAAUAGAGUUUUUUUCUGCAAUUUUUCUAGAAUGCAUGACAAGUAGGUGAAUUAAUUGUGUGAAGUCGACUUAGGUAGAAGAUGGUGGGCUUGAAUUAUCGGACCAUCCUCGACAAUCUAAUGACAUAUAACCGAAACCUGCGACCCGACCAAGCCAAAUCGGGUCCGGUCAAAAAAGGCAGGUCCCUAUUUUUUUUCUUUUCUUUUCUUUUCUUGAGAGAUAGAUAGCACGCUUUCCAUUUCAUUUAUUUUAUUUAGAAAUAAACUUACUUGAAAAUAUGAAUCAACUAGAAUUCGAACUUAGUGUUAGUUUAUAAGCGUGUUUAUUUGUUUAAUUUUAUUUGUUUUGUUGAAAAGUUAUGUAUCUUAUGAAACGGUGUGUCCUUUUUGUAAGGUUGUGUCUUUUGGUUUAGGGUCAUGUCUUUUAGUGAAGGGUUGUUUUUUUUUGUGAAGAGUUGCGUCGUUUCAUACUCUAUAAAUAGAGAGCAUGUAAUUUGUUGUAUAGUGUUGUGAACAUAGUUAGUUAAUUCGGAUUCGGCAAAAAUUCGGUACGGGUAUAAUUCGGAUAAAAUUCUUCUUUUAAUUUUUAAAUUCGUUGAAAAAUACGGCUAAAAAACGGAUUCGGUAAUUAUUCGGAUACAUGAUUUAUACGGAUAUUAUACGUUCACCAAUUAAAAAUUCGGGAUAAAAAUUCGGCUAUAUAAUAAAUAUAUAAUAAUUAAUAUACAAUAUAUAUUAUUAUUAUUAUAAUUUUUAUAUAUAGAUUAAAUAUAUUCAAAAUUAUAAUAAACAUAUAUUAAUAAUAUAUAAGAUUUAUAUAUUUAAAAAUAUUAAUAAACUCAGAUCUGUGCAGAUCUGAAGACUAAUUUAUUCCAAUUAAUCUUAGAUAAUUAACUCUUCCAUCCUAAUUAACUCUCCCAAUUAACUCUCCCAAUUGACUUCUCUGGUUAAUUGUCAAUUAACCCUCGUACAGCACCCCUCCUCGUCCCUUUCCUCCGGCACCAGCAGCACCCUCCUCGACCACCGUUGCCACUCCAAACCCCGAGGGUGGCGUCCCAUGAGGCAACAUUGGUGAUCGGGGCUGCUGUUCCCGAUAGAGGCAUAGACGAAGAACGGGUUUCUAAGCAACGGAGAAGGCAUCCACGACGAUAAUGUCGAGGUGGAAGGCACGAUGAUGCUACCGGCGGUGAGGGAGACGAUGUCGACCCACCGACCACAACGAUGUCGAAUGUGACGAGGAUGUCGGAGUUGAAGCACCCUCGGCCCCAUCCCGGAGGCAAGGGGUAGUUGGGGAAGAGAGGGAGGUGGUAGUGGUGGGCGGCGGCAANCGAAUCCCACCAAAAAUCCGAACCCAAAAUCCGACCCGAAACAAUUAUUUUUCUGUUCAAUAUUUCAAAAUAUAUUAUAUUAAAUCUAAAUUUUUAAAAUACAAAUUUAAAUAUAAUAUCAAAUUUUUAUAUACAUAUUAUAUAGGGCGCGUUUGGUUCGCGCUAUCUUUUAAAGAUUUCUAGUAAUCUAAUGAGAAUAAAAAAAUAUGACGGUGUUUGGCUAAACGCACUAAGUAAUCUAGUCAGUAAUAUUGGAUUCACUUGGGAAUAUGAUUCACCCCAAAGUACUAAUCUCAUUCCCUUGAGGGAUGAUGGGUAUCCUCAUAUUAAUGAAUUUGGGUAAUCAUAAUAGAUCUAAUAUCUUUCUUUCUUCCUACCCGCCUGCUAAUUGAUAUUAUUUUUCUUUACACUCUAACCUUAUAUCUCUCUCUAAACUUAUUUUUCUCUCUAAAAUUCAACUUUUUUUUCUCUCUCUAAACUAAGCUUUCUCUCUCUCUCUCUCUCUCUCUUUCUAAAAUUUCAACUCUCUCACUUCCUCUAAUUUCGACUAUAUUUUUCUUUCUAUUUUUUUAAUUAUGCUCUCUCUCUCUCUAACUUAUACUCUAGCUCUCUCCCUUUUUUCUAAAAAGAUGUUGAAACUUUUGGUAACAUUAUCUAAAAUUAAUUAAAUAAAUUAAUUAAUUAAUUGUAUAUUUUUUGCAAUAUUAAAUAAUAUGGCUAAUUCAUAUUACUGUGCGAACCAAACACAGAAAUUCCACAUUCUUAGUAAUAGGAUGAAUAGGAAUAAGAUUCUCGAAUAUCUUUUAUUUCUAGUAAUUUUUCAUAAUGCGAACCAAACGCACCCAUAAUGUAAAAUAAAUUCGGGUUCGGGUUGGGUAUAGUCAAAAUAUAUAUCCGUAUUCAUAUCCGUCAAGUUUUUAUUUUUGAUAUCCAUAUCCGAAAUCAUAUCCAUAUAGCAUCAGAUAAAUUGUUCCGUUCAGGUUCAGAUUCAGAUAAAAUUUCGAGUAUCCGUAUUCAUUGACAUCCCUAGUGCAAAUGCAGUAACACGGUAAUAGAGUUUUUUUCUGCAAUUUUUCUAGAAUGCAUGACAAGUAGGUGAAUUAAUUGUGUGAAGUCGACUUAGGUAGAAGAUGGUGGGCUUGAAUUAUCGGACCAUCCUCGACAAUCUAAUGACAUAUAAUCGAAACCUGCGACCCGACUGAGCCAAAUCGGGUCCGGUCAAAAAAAGGAGGUCCCUAUUUUUUUCCUUUUCUUUUCUUUUCUUGAGAGAUAGAUAGCACGCUUCUUGUUUCGUUUAUUUUAUUUAGAAAUAAAUUUAUCUGAAAAUAUGAAUCAACUAGAAUUCGAACUUAGUGUUAGUUUAUAAGCAUGUUUAUUUGUUUAAUUUUAUAUAUUUUGUUGAAAAGUUGUGUCCUUUUUGUAAGAUGUGUCUUUUGGUUUAGGGUCAUGUCUUUUAGUGAAGGGUUGUCUUUUUUUUGUGAAGAGUUGCGUUGUUUCAUACUCUAUAAAUAGAGAGCAUGUAAUUUGUUGUGUAGAGUUGUGAACAUAGUUAGUUAAUUCGGAUUCGGCAAAAAUUCGGUACGGGUAUAAUUCGCGAUAAAUUCUUCUUUUAUUUUCAAAUUCGCUUGAAAAUACGGCGCUAAAAAACGGAUUGGAAUUAUUCGGAUACAUGAUUUAUACGGAUAAUACGCUCAACAUAUUAAAAUUCGACCGUAUAAAUUUGGCUUAAUUAAUAAAAUAUAUAAUAAUUAACUAUUACUUAUAUUUCAUUAUUAUAAUUUUUAUAUAUAGAUUAAAUAUAUUCAUAUUAUAAUAAAAUAUAUUAAUAAUAUAUAAGCAUUUUAUAUUAAAAAUAAUAUAAUUAUGAAUUACAAUUUAUAAAUAAAAUAUUAUCAUAAAUUUGUGUUAUAUAAAAUAAAAUAUAUAUAUAAUAAAUGAAUAUAUAUUUUAUAAAUAAAAUAUAUAUAUAUAAUAUAUAUAUAUAUAAUAUAUAAUAUAUAUUUAAAAUUGAGCUCAUAUGUUUUUAAAAGUACCAAUCAUUCGGUGCUUGUGUAAGUUUUUUAGUCCUUGGAUUAAGGAUGUGUGGUUAAGAUUGAAAUGCGGCCACUAGGGAUUGACGUGGUGGUUAAGUUGAAAUGAGUAUAAUCUAACGGGUGCAAUGAUCAAAAGGCGUAGAUCUACGCCGUAAAAAUAUUUACAACCCAAAUACUGGGUUCUUUACCAAACACCAUUAGCCGCGACUCUCAUAUAUAUAUAUAUAUAUGAUGGAGACAUGGCUACAUGUGCUAUUAAGGAAGCCACAGCCCAGCCCUGUGCUCCUAACUUUCUAGCCACCCUCAAGUUUGAUGGGUGAUUUAGAAAAAAGAUCGAGAGAUAUUGAAGAGAAUUUCAAGGAGAAGAGAAAUUGAGACCACUCAAUUUUUCCUACUAAUUUCUUUUCCCUUUUCUUCUAACCACCCAUCAAACUUAUGGUGUGCGGUAGAAAGUAAGAGCACAAGGAUGCUGGGCUACCUAAUAGCACAGUAGCCCUGUUGCUAUAUAUAUAAUAUAUAUAUAUAUAUAUAUAUAUAUUAUAAUAUAUAUAUAAUACUAUAUAUAUAGCAGUGAGGUCUACAUAUGCUAUCGGAAGGCCGGAGCCGUUUUGUGCCUCUAGCUUGUUUAUCGAUUAUGUUGCGACUUCAUUUCGCUAUGGCUCGUUAAUAUCUAGAGUAUUUGGAGUACCUAGAAAAUAAAAUCUUUAACUUAUUUUUCGAUAUCAUUUGACCUAGUGAUCGAAUGACUCUAAAUAACAAAAAUUCAAUGGCCAAUAGUGAGUCGUUGCAAGAUUUAACGGGCUGUAGAAUAUCCAAAUCACGUGAAUUUUGAUAGAAAAUUCUUUAUACUAUAUAAAACAAGCAUUAAUAUCUUUGUUUAAAAUUUUAAUGUACCAUAUUAUUACAUUUUGUUAAGAUUUUUAUUUUCAUGUCGCAGUUGAUUUGAGCCCCUUCGUUCACUUGCAAAUGAUACUCGUCACAAUCAUGAACAUUAUUUUCUUAUGAUACUUCAAAAUACUUCUUAGAUCAAAGUUUAACGCGAGCGGAUCGACGAUUCGCAAAGUCGCAACAUAGAAAACGAGCUUGGAAGCACGGAAGCGCCUCCAUACUUCCGAUAGCAUAGUAGCCUACUCUAUAUAUAUAUAUAUGAGAGGGAGGUCCACUGUGGACCUCCCCCUCAUGUGGUCCACGAGGCAGAAAUGGCCUCGUGGACCGCACGCCAUCCAUGCCUCCCAAGUCCCAAAAGCCGCGAUUUUUUCACUAUUCAACUUCCACUUUUUCGCAGACUCAGACGGGAUCCGCCGCCGCGGCCCUUGCUCCCGGCGCCGGCCAGGGCGGCGGAGGAGGACGACGACGCGAGCGGUGACUACGCGACCCUCGAUCGCGACUGCGAUCCCUGGUUUUUUGGGCGAAUAAUUCGCGAAUAAUUAUUUUUGACGGGAAAAAUGCGUUUUUUUUCGAACUUUUCGAAAAAAUACGAAAAUCGCCGUUUAAUUCGUGUAUUAAAAAAUGCGCGAAUAAUUCGCGUAUUAAUCGUGAAUUAACUAACUAGAUUUGUAAAGUGUGGAUCAAAUUGUAUUAUUCAGUUGUAGUGUACUAAAGUUUAGUUAUAUUAAUAAAGUUUGUUAUUCUAGUGUUAAAUACUUUUUGUAGUUUAUUUAUAUAUUAUCCCACCAACAUUUGGUAUCAGAGAUAGAACGAAACUCUGUUGAAAAAUGUCCACACAACUUCUCCAAACUCAAAUCCCAAAAUUAGUAAAAGAUAAUUAUGAGAAUUGGUACAUUCAAAUGAAAGCACUUUUCGGUUCUCAAGACCUUUGGGAAUUAGUUAAAACUGGGUACCAAGAAUACACAGAGCAAGAAGAAGCUGCAUUAAUUAUAGCCCGACGAAACGAUUUGAAUGAUUUAAGAAAGAGGACAAUAAGGCGCUCUUCUAUCUUUACCAAGCAGUAGACGAGUCGACGUUUGAGAAAAUUGCCGAAGCAACUUCGAGCAAAGCAGCAUGAGAUAUUCUUGCCACCGUCUUUAAAGGAGAUGACAAAGUAAAGCGGAUUCGUCUACAAAAUUUUCGAGCAGAAUUCGAAGCAAUCCGAAUGAAGGAGUCCGAAAGUGUCGCGGACUAUGUUUCUCGCAUUUUGAUAAUUGCCAAUCAAAUGAAGCGAAAUGAAGAAGAACUCAAUGAUGAACGAGUUGUAGAAAAGGUUCUUCGUUCCCUCACAUAAAAGUUUGAGCAUAUGGUUGUCGCCAUAGGAGAGUCAAAAGAUAUCAGUACUCUUUCUAUAGAUCAAUUGACAGGAUCCCUCCAAGUACAUGAGCAACGACUACAAAAAGUGUCUGAAGACGAGUCGACUAAGCAAGCACUCAAGUCAAAAUUCAAACUUGAUAAUAGAAAAAGCAAAAAUGGUAGAGAAAAUAAUUAUGAUAGAUAUAAGAAUCAAAAGAGGUAUAACAAUGACUGAUAGAGUAGUAACAACAGUGAUCGUAAUUCACGACAUGUAUAUGGACCAAAAAGAGGCGGAUGAAAUAACAAUCGCCCAGGGUCUUAUGGUGGUACAAAAUCAAACAUACAAUGUUAUAAUUGUAAGAAAUAUGGUCACUACAGCAAAGAUUGCUGGCAUAAGAAUACUGAAGGAGUGAAUCACUACAUUGACAACACUUUAGAAAAUGAAGUUGCAGAAACGUCACUAUUACUUGCAUGUCAAGAUGAAGUUAAAGAUCUAUAAUAUGUAUGGUUUCUGGAUUCCGGUGCUUCAAAUCACAUGUGUAGAAAGAGAGAACUAUUUGUUGAAAUGGAUAAGAAUAUUAAUGGCAAUGUGAAGUUUAGUGAUUCAUCCAAAGUACCUGUUAAAGGAAAAGGAAAAAUUAUGUUUAAAUCAAAAAGUGGUAAAGAAGAAUUCAUCUCCAGUGUAUACUAUGUGCUAGAAUUAAAUAGCAAUAUACUGAGUAUCGGACAACUGAUGGAGAAAGAACAUAUCGUUCAUAUGGAAGACUCUACUCUGACUUUGAAGGAUAAGAAAGGCAAAAUGAUUGCGAAUGUGCAUACGUCAAAGAAUCGAAUGUUUCCUAUAAACAUAAAGUCUGAAAUUGAAAGGUAAUACUACUCUGAAUUUAAAGAAGAAUCAAAAUUAUGGCAUUUGAGGUACGAGCAUUUAAAUUACAAUAGUUUAAAUUUAUUAUCAUCUAAAAGAAUGGUAGAUGGUCUUCCCGUUAUCAAACAUUCAAAUGCAAUAUGUGAAGGCUGUAUAAUUGGAAAACAAACAAGACUUCCUUUUAUUAGUAGCAAAACAAAAUUUGCAACGAAACCUCUAAAUUUAGUGCAUACUGAUAUAUUUGGUCCUCUUCCUGAGUCUCAUGGAGGAAAUAAGUAUUUCAUUAUUUUUAUUGACGAUUACACUAGAAAGAUAUGGAUUUACUUUAUCAAAGAGAAAUCUGCUGCAUUUUUCACUUUCAAAAAAUAUAAGGCUUUGGUAGAAAGGGAAAAUGGAAACAAAAUAAAAAUAUUAAGAUCUGACAGAGGAGAAGAAUACACUUAAAAUGAAUUUAAAGAUUACCGGAAUAAAGAAGGUAUUCAACAGCAAUUCACUACAACAUAUAAUCCACAACAGAAUGGUAUAGCCGAGCGAAAAAAUAGAACCAUUUUAGAUAUAACAAGAAGCAUGCUUAAAGAAAAAGCUUUGCUUAAGUCAUUUUGGGCGGAAACGGUUGCAUACGCAGUAUAUUUAAUUAAUAGAAGUCCAACUAAGAGUCUAAAGAAUGUGACACCGGAGGAAGGGUGGAGUGGAUAUAAACCUGGAGUUAAACAUCUCAAAAUAUUCGGAUGUAUUGCUUAUGCACAAAUUCCCAAGGAGAAAAGAAAAAAGUUAGAUGAUCAAGGCGAAAAAUGUAUCUUUAGUGGUUAUAGUAAGCAUUCUAAAACUUACAAACUCUAUAAUCCAAUUACCAAUAAAAUAAUUAUAAAUAGAGAUGUUAUUCAACAAAAAUGGUGCAUGGAAUUGGAAUAGAGAAGGAAAAUGAAAAGGAUCAAUAGAUCAGGAAAUUGAAGAAACCGACAAUUUGCCAACUGAUAAUGACACUCCAUCACCAAUGACUCCAGCGUUAGCAUUAUCUGGUCCUUCAUCAUCCACUCCUUCAAGUUCAUCAAGUCCAGUCAGAUUAAGAAGACUUGAAGAUAUAUACAAUGAAACGGAUGUGAUUGAUAGUGAGAAUUUAUUUUGUUUACAUCUUAACAAAGAACCAUUAACUGUUGAAGAGGCUUUACAAAAGGAUGUUUGGCGCACUGUAAUGAAUGAAGAAAUUAAAGCAAUAGAGAAAAAUAAGACGUGAGAACUAACUUCACUUCCUAUAGAACAUAAAGCUAUUGGAGUAAGGUGAAUAUACAAGAUCAAGCCCAGUAUUGAUGGACAAAUAAUACAAUAUAAGGCACAACUAGUCGCAAAGGGAUAUAAACAAGAAAAAUGUGUAGACUAUGAAGAAGUAUUUGCACCAGUAGCCUGACUUGAUACAAUGCGACUUAUUCUUGCAAUAGUUGCUUAUCAUGGUUGGCAGGUACAUCAAAUGAAUGUAAAAUCGGCGUUUUUAAAUGGUUUUCUUGAGGAAGAAGUUUAUAUUGAACAACCUCCUGGCUACAAAAUAAAAGGUGCGGAAGAUAAAGUUUACCGUUUGAACAAAGCUUUAUAUGGCUUAAAACAGUCUCCACGAGUUUGGAAUACUCGUCUUGAUAAUUAUCUUCAAAAUAAUGAAUUUUAUAAUUGUCCUUAUGACUAUGCUACAUAUAUCAAGAAAAAUAAAAAUAAAAAAGAAGAUAUUUUGAUUAUAUGUGUGUAUAUGGAUGAUCUACUAAUCACAGGAUGUAGCAAAGAGGUGAUAAAUGAUUUUAAGAGUAUCGUAAUAAAAGAAUUUGAUAUGACAGAUUCAGGACUUACGUCAUAUUUUCUUGAUAUUGAGGUGAAACAAGAUGAAAAUAGAAUCUUUAUCACUCAAAAGAGAUAUGCUGAAAAUAUUUUGAAGAAAUUCAAAAUGAAAAAUAGUAAAGAAAUUAAUACACCGACUGCACGUAGAACCAAACUAAGCAAAAGUGACACUAGAAAGAAAGUUAAUUCUACUCUAUUCAAAAGCCUAGUAGGAAGUCUUCGCUAUUUAACAGUGAGUAGACCAGAUAUUAUGUAUGGAGUCGGAUUAAUCCACGGAUAUAUGGAAAAUCCAAUGGAAUCGCACUGGCAAGUUGCAAAACGAAUUUUGAGAUAUAUAAAAGGUACCAUUGGUCAUGAAUUAUAUUAUACAAAAUCAAAGAAUUAAAAUUACUUGGGUAUACAGAUAGUGAUUGGGCCGGAGAUCAAGAUGAAAGAAAGAGCACUACGGGGUACGUUUUCUUUAUGAGUUCUACAGCUUUCACAUGGAGUUCUAAAAAAUAGCAAAUCGUCACCUUAUCAACGUGUGAGGUUGAAUAUGUUGCUGCGACAUCUGGAGUUUGUGAAGCAAUAUGGUUAAGAAACAUACUACAAUAAUUGGGCUAUACUCAAAAUUCUCCUACUCCAAUAUAUAUUGAUAAUAAAUCAGCGAUUGAGUUAUCUAAAAAUCCAGUGAAUCAUGGGAGAAGUAAACAUACACAAGAUAUCAUUUUCUUCGUGAAGAAGUAAAAAAAGGACGAGUUGAAUUAAUUCAUUGCAACUCUGAGGAGCAGCUAGCGGAUUUUUUUACCAAGCCGUUACAAUUAGAAGUUUUCAAAAAUUUAGAGAAAAACUUGGAAUUCGAAAAUGGUAAAAAAUUUAAAUCAAUUAAAUUUAUAUAUAUUGUCGGGUGUGGGACUUGAACCCACGACUAACAAGCAUAGAUUUUUUUAGGUUGCUCCCUCUAACAAUGCAGGCUAUGCAAACAAAUUACAAUUGUUACAAAAAGAUAAUUAAUAUUAUUGAUGCAUCCUGUUGAAUGUAAUGAUUUGAGAGUUGACUUGUUGACCACCGGUAGUUAUUAACCAAUGGGUAGUUGAUAGUUUUAUAUUUGAAAAGUUGUCUUUUAAAACUUGAAAAGGUGUCUCUUUUAUAUUGGGACACCUUAUAUUUGAAAGGGUGCGUCAUUUAUUUUUAGAAACAUUUUCAAGCCUACAAAUAGUGAAUAGAGAAUGAUGUUUUUUAAAAACAAGCUGAUAUUUAAACAUUGAAGAAAAGAUAAAUAUGGAGAAUAAAGUGACAGUAAGAAUGUCCUACAAAAGUCUACUUCAAAAAUACUGUCAGAAGAUGUAGAUGUCGCUGCCACAAUAUCGCACUUAUCAACAAGGACCUAUUCACGUUCUAUAAUUUUAUUCGUUUGUCAAAUUCAAAAAUUCCACUUAUAUGGGUGAUGUGAAAAAAAUCAAAGGAUGUGAAACAAGAUGUGGCACAUUUUUCUUUUAUGAGUACCAAAGGUAUGGUUUCUCUUGAUCAAAGAAUUUUUUUUUUUUUUUUUGAGAGAUAGGUAGCGCGCUACCCGCUUCGUUUAUUUCAUUUAGAAAUAAACUUAGCUAGAAAUGUGAACCAUUUAGGAUUCGAACUUGGAUUUCGGGUACCAACCAUCAAGCCCUUUGCCACUUGCUCUAGGGACAGUUGGUGAUCAAAGAAAUUUUCAUUUAGAGAAACUUGCAAUAAAUUUGGAAAAAGAAAAUAUGGCAUUGAAUUUGGAGAAUAAAUUCCCGGAGAACGUAAUCAACAAGCAGGCCUCCAAAAUUAGGAGUUUGAUUUCAGACAAGAUAGUCUUAUAGGAAAGACUCCAAGAUUAUGAAGACCCAAUUAAAAAGAGAUGUCGAUAGUUUUGCAUAAACAAGCUUAAAGAGGAAUGUUAGUUUAUAAGCUUGUUUAUUUGUUUAAUUUUAUUUGUUUUGUUGAAAAGUUGUGUAUGGAAAGUUGUGUAUCUUAUGAAAGGGUGUGUCCUUUUUGUAAGGUUGUGUCUUUUGGUUUAUGGUCAUGUUUUUUAGUGAAGGGUUGUCUUUUUUUCGUGAAGAGUUGCAUCGUUUCAUGCUCUAUAAAUAGAGGGCAUGCAAUUUGUUGUGUAGAGUUAUGAAGUGUGGAUCAAAUUGUAUUAUUCAAUUGUAAUGUACUGAAGUUUAGUUAUAUUAAUAAAGUUUGUUAUUCUAGUGUUAAAUACUUUUUGUAGUUCAUUUAUAUAUUAUCCCAUCAACACUUAGAACCUCGGGUACUAACAACCAAGUCCUUUGCCGCUUGCUCUAAGGACGGUCGGUUGGACCCAAAGUAAAAAUGUGUGUGUGUGUGUGUGUGUGUGUAGAGAGAGAGAGAGAGAGAGAGAGAGAAAGUCAGGCUACUAUACUCUUAUGAGUACGAUCGUCCUCGUACUCAUAAGUCGUUUUCAAUAAUAGAUCUUCCGAAUCAACGAUCCAUACUGUUAAACAUUAUCUAGAGCAUUUAAAACUUCUAGAAAUCAAAUUUCAUAAUUCUUCGACAUUAUUUACCUUACGAUCAAAAGCUCACAAAAUUGACAAUUUUUAACCGCCGGUAUGGGAUACUUACUAGUUUAACAGUGUAAAAGAAUGGGAAUAGGUUGAAUUUUUGAUAGAAAAUUCUAUUCACUACCUAGAUAAAGAUCAAUAACUCCGAUCUUAAAUUGAAGGAUCCAAUCAUCCAUUUUUAAGACGUCGUUCGAUUUUGAUCGUUCAUUUUAUGUCCAUUUGAUGGACUUUAUUAUGAUUUCGAAAAAUUACGAAUUCAUCUUUUAGAAGUUUCAAAUACUCUAGAUCAUAUUAAACGGAAUGGAUCGUCGAUUCGAAAGCCCCAUCAUCGAAAACAACUUAUGAGUACGAAGGGCCCAAUACUCAUAAGAGUAUAGUAGCCGGACUAUAUAUAUAUAUAAUAUUUAAAUAGUAUAAUUUAAUAGAGUCCAUUGGAUAAAAUUGGCUAUCACUGUAUCACUGGGACUCUUGUUUUAUUUGCAUUGUUGGUAAGUCGAGGCAGGCACUGAACCGAAUGUUCAUCCAGAAAUUUCAAUCUCUGUAGAAUGUUUGUGGAGAUACGAUAUCAUCCUUUGUCACUCUCGUGCAAGAAAACUGGUCGCUAUGUCUUUUUGUUCUAAUAUCCUCUUAGAAGCAUCUCAGAUUAUAGUUAAAAAAUCUUUUUCUCUCUUCUUUUUUCGAGUAUUAUGUGGGCUUGGGGGGUUGGCUGCAGCAGAUGGGUGGGGGGAACAAUGGGUCGCGCGCGCGGGGUCGCGGGGAUUGGCUGCAGAGUAUGGUCCGCGGUCGCCGCGGACGGGCUGCAGAAUGGGCUGCAGAGGAUAGGUCGCGGUUCUCCGGGGUGGGGGAGGGCGCGCGGUGGUGGGGCGGGCUGCAAGAAGGGGUGCGCGGUGGGGGGGGGAGAGUCUCAGCGACGGUGAGUGGGGAGGGCUGCAGAGAAUCGGGUCGCGCGCCGGAGCGGGGGAGGGUCGCGCGGUGGGGGCGGUGGUGGUAGGGGCGGCUGCAGAGAUGGUCUGGCGUGUGCGGGCGUGAGGCGGGGGGAGGAGGCGGGAGGGCGGGGGGGAGGGAGGAGGUGCUUUCCGGCGUCUCCGGCAGCGCUCAAAGAUACAGAGGAGCUCCACUAUUCCACAGGAGAGAGAGAGGGAGAGAGAUUGGGGGAGAAAGAGAAGAGGUGAAGCAUUCACUGUAGAGGGAGGGAGAUAGCCUGGGAAGAAAAAGAGAGAAAAGGAAGAAAGAGAAAGAGAAAAAGAAAAAAGAAAAGACAAAAAAAAGAGAAGAGAGAAGAAGUCCGUUAAAUCUAACCCAUCUAACUAUGGAUUUUCCUUUUAAAAGGCCACUCAAUCUCAGCCGUCCAUCUAUUUAGAUGGAUGGUGGAUGCUUUAAUAGCACAGGGACUGCUGUGCUCUUAAGAGCACAGCAGCCCUACUCUCUCUCUCUCUCUCUAUAUAUAUAUAAGCACGGAGGCCUUCGUGCUCCUAAGCCGUUUUCGAUGAUAAAGCUUCCGAAUCGACAAUCGGUUCCGUUAGACUUGAUCUAACAUAUUUGAAGUAUCUAGAAAAUAAAUUUUAUGAUUUUUUGAUAUCAUUUACCUAGCGAUCGAAAGGGUUCAAAAUCAACGGCUGAAAAUAAAAAUCUCACAAAAAGUGGUGAUAUAGCACUAAAAUUUUUUAUCAGAGACAUUGAUCUUGCUGUAAAUAUUAUAAAGAAUUUUCUAUCAAAAUUUCAUAUGAUUUGAAUACUUUUACACCAUUAAACUUGCAAACGGUAUAUAUCAACCAUUAAAAAUUGUCAAUUUUGUAAACUAUUUCGAUCACAAGGUAAAUAAUAUAAAAAAACCACAAAAUUUACUCUCUCUCUCUCUCUCUCUCUCUAUAUAUAUAUAUAUAUAUAUAUAUAUAUAUAUAGUACGGCUACUAUACUCUUAUGAGUAUAUAGCCCUUCAUACUCAUAAGUUGUUUUCGAUGUUCUGGCUUCCGAAUCGAUGAUCCACACCGUUAAACAUGAUCUAAAGUAUUUGAAAUUUCUAGAAAAUAAAUUUCGUAACUUUUCGAAAUCAUUAUAAAGUCCAUCAAGCGGAUAUACCCUAAAAUGAACGGUCAAAAUCGAACAACAUCCUAAAAUGAAUGAUCGGAUCCUUCAAUUUAAGAUCGGGGUUAUUAAUCUUUAUCUAGGUAAUGAAUAGAUUUUUCUAUCAAAAAUUCAAGCUAUUCGGAUUCUUUUACACCGUUAAACUAGCAAUUAUCACAUACCGGCCGUUAAAAAUUGUCAAUUUUGUGAGCUAUUGAUCGUAAGGUAAAUAAUAUCGAAAAACUAUAAAAUUUAAUUUCUAGAAGUUUUAAAUACUCUAGAAAAUAUUUAACGAUAUAGAUCGUUGAUUCGGAGGCUCUAUUAUCGAAAACAACUUAUGAGUACGAAGGCGAUCAUACUCAUAUGAGUAUAAUAACCAGACUCCAUAUAUAUAUAUAUAUAUAUAUAUAUAUAUAUAUAUAUAGAGUCCGGCUACUAUGCUAUUAAUAGCACGAAGCACUUGGUGCUACCAAGUUUUCCGCCAUUAGAUCUACCCUUUUGAUCAUUUUCACCCGUUAGAUCAUACUAUUCAACCAACCACCCACUUAACCCCUAGGGGGCCCAACUCAUCCUAGACCGCAACAUUUUAAAAUCAAUGACUCAAAAACUUGGUAGCAUCCAGCACAAUGACUUGGUGCUAUUAAUACAAUAGACGCCUAGUUCUAUAUAAUAUAUAUAUAAUAUUAACUAUAUAUAUUAUAUAUAUAUAUAUAUAAUAUUUAAAUUUAAAAAAUAAGUGUUAGUUUAUUUUUAAAAAAAAACUAAUCAAAAUAAAAAAAAAAUUCUUCUAACUCUCUAUCUUUCUUUUUUUAAUUCAUCCUUAGUUCGAAAAGGAUUAGAUGAAAUUUUAGUUUUGACACUUCUCCUAAUUCAAAUCCACAUUAUGCACCUUGCAAAAAGUCUCAAACCCAGAUAUGAGACGGAAGUGUUAAAUAUAAAAAUAUUUAAAUAUCAUUCUCUGCUAGCUUAAACCUUUAGAGUAUAACUAUAACAAUCAUUUUGUAUUAUUUAACAGCCAUAGCUGUACUUACUGUACAUUAAUAUUUCAACACAUCGGUCGCAUAAUAUUUAAAUAUACCAACCUUAAUACAACUUGGUGUUAAUUGCAUCAUUAAGCAAAUCCACACUCUUGUACAUUGGUAAUUAGUGGCUACUGUACAGAAUUGUCACCCUUAACAGCAAGUAGCAAAUUUAAAAGAGAAAACUUCAAAUACCCCCCUUGUAGUUUCACUCUUUCUCACUUUAGUAUCUUGUGGUUUAAAGUGUAUCAAGUUAGUAUCCUGUAGUUUUGCACUUUUUCACUUUAGUACCCUGCGGUUUAAAGUGUAUCAAGUUAGUAUCCUGUGGUUUCGCAUUUUCUCACUUUAGUACCUUGUGAUUUCGUACUUUCUCACUUUAGUACCCUGUGGUUUAAAACCACAGAGUACUAACUUAAUACAAAAAUAAAACCACAGGGUAUUAACUUGAUACAAAAAUAAAACCACAGAGUACUAACUUGAUACAAAAAUAAAACCACAGGGUAUUAACUUGAUACAAAAAUAAAACCACAGAGUACUAACUUGAUACACUUUAAACCACAGAGUACUAAAGUGAGAAAGUGCGAAACCACAUGGUACUAACUUGAUACACUUUAAACCAUAGGGUACUAAAAUAAAAAAAGUGCGAAACCGCAGGGGGUUUUUGAAGUUUUCCCAAUUUAAAAAGAAGAAGAAAAAGAAGAAGAAGAAGAAUCUCUUCAUGCAUCAAUGUACUCUUCAGCAACUGAGGUUUAUUCAUAAUUUUGGUCGCUCUUUCGCAAUAACUGAAGGUGAUUGCUGAGGUGCUAUUUUGGGAAAACCCUUUUUUCAAUUUAGAAAAUAGCCUAAAAGACAGAGGACAUGAAACUAAUACUCUUUGGCCUUUCUCCGAAGCUCGUUAAGCUCGUUCUCGAUCUCAGAGUCUCGGAAAGGAAAAGCUGCAUUUGAACUGCUGAUUGCUGUUCUACCAUCAGGAAGUUCUCCUUUCUGCAAAUGAAAUGAGAAGCAAAAUUGUAGAUUUCAAUUAAUGCUGCAAAGCUGAAGAAUUAUGCAAAAAAUAUAUUCAUACAUAAAAAGUAGAGAAUAAAAGCUAGGCUGUGCCCAAGAAUUUUUUUAUCCAAAUUCUUUCGAGUCAAAAUCAAUGGUAGGGCAUUUCAUUGACAAUCCAGAGCAUUAGAUUUGAUCUGGAAUAUUUAAAGUACUACAAAGUAGAAACCAAAUUUUACAGGUUUUGGAUGCUUCUAACUAUGUAUCAAGUAGAGAUUGAAAUGAUUGGCGCAAAGUGAAUAAUUCCUCAAACAAAGUGAAGGAUUCCUCGGCUGAAAAUAAUAAUAGCCAUUAUUCUUGAUUUAGAAAUAUCUAAUGUUUUUAAAACAAACUUCGAAGUUUUAACCCAACUCAGAAUCAACCCAAAAGACAUAAUAUAUCAAACGUUCUGAUUCUUAAUUUUGAGACUGCCUGAAGCUCAAAAGCAUAGAAAAUUUACGAACAUUUGGUAUAUGGUAAUUUCAAUAUUCUUACUCAUGAUCUCGGAGGCCUCAUUAUCAAGAAAACCAUGGCUUGUUACAGCAAGUUCUCCGGACACAAAACAAGUUCCCCUGGCCGUGAUCUACUUGUUGUUAAUAGAUUAUUACAAGUACUACAGUUGAGAGACUUUGGGGCCAAAUCCUUCUCAAAAUCGGCAUUAGAGUAUUUGAAUUGACAACCCAUACUGCUUAAUGAUCUAGGGUAUUUAAAGUUACUAAAAAUAAGAAAUUUAUGAUUUCUUUGGCAAAACAGUCUCAAAAUGACGAUCUUUUUUUUUUUUAGAAAGAGAAAGAUAGCAUGCUACCCACUUUGUUUAUUUUUUUAAAUAUAAACUUAGCUUGAAAUGUGAAUUAACUAGAAUUCGAACAUGGGACCUCAGGUACCAACCGCCAAGCCUUUUGCCACUUGAGCUAGAGACGGUUGGUCUCAAAAUGACAAUCUUAACAAUUGAUCUAAUGUGUUUAACUGUUAAACAUAAUUCAAAUACGUUUUGGUACGAAAAUAUUUAUAAAUGAGUUCAUAUAGCAAUAGAAUACUGUCUAAAAAGUAUUUUCAACUUAUGCUAUUCAUUUUUGGACCACUUGACGCACAAGCAAAAUCUCCCUCCCUCCUUCCCCGUGUGUGGGUGCGUCUGCGUGCUUGUCUGUGAGUAUGUGUGUGAAUGUGUUACUCUUUGACUAUUUGUCUGUGCCUUGCAAAAUCAUCCAUUUUCUGAAUAACCUUAUCGCAAUUUGGGUAGUCAUCCAAUUCAAGGGGGAAAGUUGGUUUUCUGUAAGAAAAUUUCUAAGGAUGUCUCUAAAUGUGCAAGGCUACUUAUGUAAAAGAUGAUUUUUAAAAAGGCCCCUAUAAAAAUUAUUAUAUUGCAAGGCUCUAUUAAAUAAAUGAUUGCACAGAGGUAUAUAAAUGAAUAUUUUUUAAAAAAAUUGACAGAGUAAAGAUAAUGCAUAUGGUCUGAGAAGAAUAGACUACCACAGAGCCUUCUGAUAAUUCUCUUUUCAUUUUCGCAAGAUCAUCAUCCACUGAUGAGCUCUCGAGCAUUGCAAACUGCAACGAACAAACAGCAUUUUUAAAUGGGAAAUAUAUAUUGUUCGCACAAGACAAAGUAAGAUAAACGUGUCUUCGAGAACAAAUACUACCUUCCCUUCGAGAUCGUCAGUUGUUAACUGAUUAAGGGCCUCAGCUUGCGAUUCCAUCGCUAAAACUAUCAAGUCAAAUAAUCCCAGUCAACAAUUUUGGAACAUCAAUUUGGUUGUUAUGCAAUCCAUAUAACAAUAAGAACCAUAGUUGAAGCGACAUUGUGCAAUAUACUCCAAUCUUUUUGAUAGAAAAGUUUUUAUAUUUAGAUCUUAUAUUUAGUCUAUAGAGGAGUGCAUUAUAAUUUAUCUGCCAUAAAUGCUCCAAAAGAGUUUGAAAAAAAAACAAGAUAUACCCUUUUCCUCCAUCUUCUCAAAUGCUGAAAGAGCACUACUUGUAUCCACAUUUCCUAUCAUUUCGCUCACUUUUGUCGCAGUCCUAAAGGCAAAAGUUACUCUGAUAUUUAGUAUGUACAAACUUGAGAGAAAGAGAAACAGGUGAUUUUAUCUAUAAAGAAAAGGAAGACAGACUUGGCUGUUUGAGCACGGGCUUUUAGAGUAUCCUUUUUCGACUUGGCCUCUGCUAUCUUGCUCUCUAAAAGCUACCAAACAGAAUGAUCUAAUUAUAGCCAUUCAGAAUGGUUAAAUUGGACUGACGUGCAUCCAGAUACAAAAAAGUUGUAAAAUAUCACAAUAAUAGAUACUUGGAGAUUGAAAACAUUUACAGCUAUAAAUGUGCUAUGAAGAACAUUUAUACAAUGAUUUUCUUGUAUUGCCAACAAACACACACACGCACACACACACACAAGCUGAAUGUAAAAAUGUAAAUUAGGAUCUAAACAAGUUAGCAUAGGAUCUACAUUUCUUUUAUAAUUCAAUUAAGCUUUUUCCCAUAUUAAGCUUAAAUAAGGAGGAGCAAUGCAUUUCCAUUUUUCCCAACAAAACUAUGAAAAGAUGAUCCUCACAGAGAAUUUUUGUUUCUGGUGAAUUAUGAGACUUUGGACCAAAAGAAGGAAAGCUGCAGGAUUAAAAUUCAAAUAUGUCAAGUAAGGCCACCAAAAACCAGCAGUACAACUUAUUUAAAAUAUGAAGCCGAGCGGGAGGGAAAAGUCGCAAAGUAUUAGAUGCACUAUGGCAAGGUAGUAGUGAGAGUAUUGAACAACUACCAUAAGAUCUAGAUUUCUAACUUCUAAGGUAGAAGUUCAAUCUCUAAACUUCUUAAUGUUCUUUAACUUCUUCUUUGUUGCUAAAAAAUGCGUUGAAUAAAUAUAAAUAAACAACUGAAAUGAUCCUCAAUAACAAAUGAUGCUAUUGGCCAACAACAAACAGUAACUUCUACAAAAAACAAUGUAAGAGAAGAGGGAGAAAAAGGAUAAAAUUUGAAAAACUAAGAUUUUUCAUAUGGCAUAAUGAAGAAAGUGUACAACACGGUGCAGUAUACUAAGGAACAGAAAAAGCUAACCCGAGUAUUAGAGACAAGAUUAUCCACCACACUCUUCUGUUGAUCAAGCUGUGCCUUCAAGGAGCUUGCAUUGUCCUAAUUACACAACCUCACAUAAAAUUAGAAAAUAAUAAUUGAAAUAGAAAAUUUUUUAAAAAAAAAAACCUAGAGAAUAUCUACAUUCUAGAUUCCCUGAAUCAACUUCCAGACAAACAGCCCUAAGUUUUUUCAAGAAAGCCGGCUUAAAAAUUGGUGGAUGGCGCUAAUUGGUCUGCCGCUUCUUCACAUGUUGAAAUUUCCCAACCUCUCCUGAAAAGUAUUUUAAAGAUCUGCAAUGAAAAUCUCCCAUUAUGACCCCCGUAAGGACACUAGUCUAUAAGUUAAUAACCGAAUGACGGCAUAAGCUCUGAAACUUUACAUUGUUUAAGAACUAUAAUAAAGGCACAAUAAAGAGUGAAAUCGGGGGAAACAUAAAACCAUCAAAAGCUAUACUUAUUGGAACAUUCUGAAAGUCAUUCUACUAUCUAAAAAUAAAAAAAAAAGCUAAAACAUUGUAUUAACUGUCAAAAUUGUUCCAUCACUGCCCCUCUAAAUUUGCCUUUUAGGAGGACCAUAUGUCGGAAAACAAAUCAUAACGAAACCUUAAAUGGAUAAGAUAUACUGCAAUUAAGAUAAAGAAAAUUGUUUUUAUAAACAUUUAGUUUGCAAAUGUAAUAGGAUAGUUGGGUACCUAUAGUUAAUAUAAAUCCCGAUCUCACAUUCUCCCAUGACAGCUAACAUAUGACACACACACACACACACACGUCCCGCAAAAUCAUUGUUCAUAUCUACACAAGAAAAUUCCAAAAUUUUCAUAUAUCUCCCUCAAAAUUGCAGUUUCUUAACAGACACCUUAAGUUUAAGUUUGGUAGUCAUUCAGUUAGUUGCAUGGAGGUUGUAGUGUUAAAAUAGUAUUAUAAAAAGGGGCAGUUUCAUAAGAAUAAGGUAAUCUAUGCAAUAAAUUUUCUUCAAGGCAUGUAAAAAAAUUCACUUUUUGCAGGAAUACCAAGUACAUUUGUAAAUGAAAAAGUCUAUCUUCCACAAGGUACCCACAGCAUAAGAUUUACGUCUUUUUAGGGCUUCACGAGCAAGAUCCUCAUCUCCUUUCUCAAGAGCAAGUUGUGCUCUGCGAUACCUGCAAAGAAAAAAAAAAUGCAUGGAGUUGAUCUCAAGUUACUAAAUAUAUACCACAAAAUUGAAUAACACUUCAAAGAUAACAGCACCAAUCAUCAGAAGCUUGUUGUGCAGCCUUAUAUUUGUUCUCCAAGCGCUUCUGAGAAGCCAAUACCUUCAAUUCAACAAAGGAAAUCCAUAUUGAAAUUUCAGAUAAUACAAGAAAAAGAAAUUAAGAUAGACAUAUUAUGAAUAGCUAUGCAGUGGUAAGUGAAAGGAAAACUGAACUUGUUCGCAUACACAACAAAGGUACAAAAAUCUACUUUGCAAAUAACUAUUAUGAAGAAGACAACAAAAUUGGAAUUUUCUUCUCCCAAAAGGAAUAAGACAACAAAAUUAGGAAAAGCAAUAUACUCACAAACUAGCAUAACAAACUUUUAAUGAGGAAUAGAAUUCCAUAAUAACUUCCUACAUAAGAUAUUCACUUUGGUUAGUUAAAAAUAUAAGGAAAAGUAUAUAUACCUGUGCAGUCGCCUGGCGCAUCUUAGUCAAGUCAUCAUUCAUCUCAAGAACUGUUUGAUCCAAGAUCUUCUCCGGAUCUUCAAAGGAACUAAUGACUGCAUUUGCAUAGGACUAGAAAUGCCACAAAUGUACCACAAUCUAUACAUUAGUUAGAAUAUAAUGUGAACAAGAGAACAUAUCAUAAUGUGGCACCAAGAAGGAAACUUCAAAUUCUUACUUUGACGACCCUUGCUAGUCGAUCAAAUAGGUUCAUUUGGGUACGAAGAGCCCCACAUCUCAAUCUAUCCAAGUUUUUUGUUUGAACUAGCACAACUUUCAAGGAUUUCACUGUCAAAGAAAAAUAUUAGGAGAAAUAUCAGAGACCAAAAUAAAAUAUUUUGAUCGUUCACAUUGAUAACAUCUUCACAAACCAUAACCACAUCCCGCUUACUCAUUCAACAAUUCAACACCAACUUAUUGUAAUAUUACUACCAUUAUACCAAGGCAAGAACCUCACCAUUGCGAGGAGGCAAAUGAAACUUCUAGGAUAGUGCAUUGCGCGACUCAUAUAAUAAGGCCAAAUCCUCAUCCUUUUUAUGCUUUCUUCAUGCAUACUCAUAUAAACAUCUUCUCAAAGAAAUAUUCCUCAGAUAGGCGUUUUAUUUGCUACUAAAAACUGCACAAUCACAAUCUCAUUUUGCUUUUACAUUCAAACAAAACCCUACAUAUUUGGCUGGCUCAUACAAUAAUUCAAUACCAACUCAUUUUCAGGAUUCUAGCAGCCUAGCAUUAUAACAAGCCAAAAGUCUCAUCAUGAUGAGAGGCCAAAUCACACUUUUAGGAAAAUGCCUGGCACUACUCAUAUCACAAGCCAAAUUCUCAUCCCCUUUACAUGUUAUCUUUGUGCAUACUUAUAUGAAAUAUCUUUCUUUCAAUGAUUUUGCAUAAAAUGGCAUUUUCAUCGCUAGUAAAAACUACACAAUCCCAAUUCUUCCACUUUCUUAGGAGUAAAAAAAAAGAAAAAUACUUGGCUUAUUUGCACAGCAACUCAAUGCCAACUCAGUAUAAUAAGUUUCUUUUCUUAGUCAAGGUCCCAUCUUGCUACAAAAAAUCUAUUAAGACUACUACUAAAUCAUUUCUUAUAUAAGAUCAAUCCUUUGAGUAAAAUAACAUCAAGGCAAGUGUCCCACCUGUUGGUUUAGCUGAUCUCCACAAUGUACAUGAGUGAGCGUGAAAAGACCAUUCCAAGUCACUUCCUAUAUGCUAUAGGUAAUGCCGAAUAUAAAAUAUUAAAACAUCAUUCUCAAGCACAGAAACCUUUUGCUACUGCUUAGAUAGGGAUAUAAGGGGGAAUAAAGGAGCUUAUUUCUACUUAUUAUUCAUCCAAACACAAUGAGAAACACUUGUUUCCCUCUUAAUGGGAUAUCCAGAGAUCUCUUAAUGGGUUAUCCCGAGAUAACUUGUUACAAAGGGGAAUAAAAAAUAAUCAAUUAUAAAAUUCUGCAAUUAAUAUAUAUUACAUAUUAACUUAUUUACCAAUUAACUAACUAGCUAAUUAACCACUUUAUUUAAUAAAUUAAUAGAUAUUUAAUUAAAUAAAUACUUGAGCAAUUAAUUUAUUAUUUGUAAUUAAUUAGCCAAUUUAAAAAAUUAACUAUUUGAUGAGCUUAUCCAGUAACUAAUAUUCACACUGAUUAACUAAUUAAUAUUUUGACUAAAAUAAUUAAUUUCUUAACUAAUUAUCCAAUUAACUAAUAAAUUAAUUAACAAGUUGACUUAUUUCUUAUAGUUAAUUAAUUAAUUAAUGUGCUUUUCCAUUAUCUUAUAAAAUAUAUUCAUAUUUAUUAAUUUACCAACUUACUAAAUUACUAUCUAAUUAAUACUUUGAUGUUAAUUAAUUAGGUAAUUUUUUAUUUUAAAAUUAUAAUUAUUCUUAUUCCCACUGCUCCAGCCUAACCAUUCACAGCCCCAAACCCUACUUUUUCUAUUUCAGCAAUUCUAUUCUAGAAAAUGUAUCUGUACCAGGAAUAAGUAAGAUCAGCAUAUUCGUGAACCAAACGAUACCCUUUUUUAGAGUGUAACAAGUUUUUUUCGCAUGGUAGUUCAAAACACUAGCUUCAUUUAAAAUGAUAGAACAAAGCACCGUUCGAGGUCGCAUCAAAUAGCAAAAAAAAUUAUAGAGAUACGCUCGAAAUCAAACACCACACCUCCGCCAUUGAAGAAGGAGGUCCCGGGAGGGCGGCGAGAGGCGGAAACCCUAGCCGAGUAGGGGCGGAGGGUGGCGGAGAGCGGCGGCGGAGGCGGGGCCGCGGCGGAGAAGGGGAGACUAGUGGCGGAGGUAGCGGGGGGCUUCAACGCCGCCAUUGUCGAGCGAAACCCUAGCGCUCCUAGGUGAAGGUGGGGAGAUUGGGUUUGGGAGGGGAGGGAAUUAGGGUUUUUCCUGCGCCUUCGUCGGUGGUGAGGUCGCGUGGAGAAGGAUUGGAAAUGGGAAGAGGUGGUGGUGGUGGUGGUAAUGGCGUUGGCUUGUCCUUUCUCUAAUGAUUUUGUGAUGAUUUUUAUCGUCGCUUUUAGAGGACAAUUGGAUUGAAUUUUUUCCCUUUUUAAUUUUUGAAUUAAUUGCAUACAGCACCUUAUAAAUAUAUCGAAUAACAAGUAUAAUACUAUAAAAUUUAAUUUUUUAUAUUUAUUUUAGUUAAAGUUCUAACGUUUUCGAAUAUACCCCCUGCGAUUAGGAUCCGACAGAAAAAUAUAAUUGAGGGGCAAUUACUUAUAUAUUCCUGAAAAAUUUCCGACUUUCCAAUUUACCUCUCUUAGAAGGCUAAUAUUGAAAAUAUCCCUCCUACGUUCCAACCUAUUUCUAAUAUACCCCUUGAGUUAAAAUCUGUUAAGUAACUCUGUUAUCUCUAUAAAAUUACUAUUUUGCCCUUUCAAAUAUACCCUUCCACCAUCACUUUCUUUCUUAUUUGCCCUUAAAGUCAAGGGUAUAAAAAGUAUUUUGACUUUUGGUCUUUUCCAAUAUACCCCUCUACCGUCACCAACCUUUCUUAUUUACCCUUAAGUUAAGGACAAAAUUGGUAUUUUAAUUUUUUUUUAACUGUGGUAGAUAUUUAACUUACGUUUAACCCAGGUUAACUUAAUAGGAGAUAACUGCAAGGGUAUUCUGUAAUAACUGUGGAACAUAUGAGGAGUAUUUUAGAAAAAGAAAAAAAAAAGUAGAGAUAUAUCGGAUAUUUCUAAACGUAUGAGGGAUAUGUAGGCAAUUAUCCCUAUAAUUUAAUCAUAGGUAAAUAUUUAACCCUGAUUAGCGAAUGAGGUAAAUUAACAUUUUUAUCCCUCUUAUAAUAUUUGUGACAGCAGAGAGGAAGAAGAUGACCGUUGAAAAUUUUUAAGAGGACAUUUCUGUAUAAUUCUAACCGUUGGGACCUUUUGAGGGACAUUUGUGAUGACAAAAAUAUCAUUUUAUUUAUUCUCUGUAAAAAAAUAAACAAUACUCUAAUAGUAACAAACUAGAAUAGCAAAUAUAAAUAUCACUGAACUUUUGCAGAAAAAAAAUAUAAAAAGUUAAACUUUGUAGGGAUAUAUUUACUAUUUGAUAUAUUUAUAACAAGAUAUAUAAAAUUAACCCCUUUUUAAUAAUAAAUUUUAAAAAAAUAUUAUAAUUAUUAUAAAAAUACUUCAGUAAUUAAUUUAUUUAUAAAAUUAAACUUAUACAUUGAAUAAAUUAUUGUUUUCUAAACAUGUCGAAUUAUUCACCAUUUUUUUGAAAAUAUUAAAAUUAUUUUUAUAGUUUAAUGCUAUAUAUUUUUCGGAGCUCAAAUAUAAAAAAUAAAAUGAUUUCUAGAAUUUAAUGAUAUAUAUUUUUUAGAGUUGAGAUUUGAGAAAUAUAUAAGUUAAAUGAAAGUUAGAUCUAUUUUUAUAAAUAAAAAUUUUGAAUGUUUGCUUUUAUAUUUAAAAAUUUUUGUAGGCUGCAAUUGGAAGAAGGGAAGAUAUUGCCUGCACUUGGUGUAUCAGCACUACUCUGUACACCACACCACUAAUAAACGGGCAUUUGGAUUGGCCGAUAAGGUACGGAUUUUUAAAAAUCCAAAUUCGAACCGGACUACAGAAACUGAAAUUAAAAUUCAAACCUGAAUCCGAAGCAAUCAGAUUUUAAAAAUACAUUACCAAAUUCAAACUCAACAAAAAAAUCAAAUUCAAAAUCCACAAAAAAAAGAGAGCCAUUUCUCUUUAUCAGAGUUUAAACCUAUUAUCCUCAAAUCUAAAUUUUCAAAAUACAAAUUCAAUUUUUUAUAUAUCAUAUAUAUAUAUAUAUAUAUAUAUAUAUAUAUAUAUAUAUAUAUAUAUNGGUUCGAAUUCGACUUUGGAUUUGAGUUCAAAUGGGAUACAGAUAAUGAAUUUGGCAAGUUUUUAUUUUUUAUUGCCGUAACCAAUAUCAAACCUGUUUAGCAUCAAUCCAGAUUCAAAGUUAAGUAAAAUGUCAGGUAUUCGUACUCAUUGGCAUUCCUAAUCGACGUAGUUCUAGUUUCAAUAGAAAAUCAAAUUUGACAAAAGUUAAAAAAAAAUUGUUAUUGCCAUCCGUUAGUAUAAUAAUACUGUAAAGAUGAAUUGAGCUCCUAUACUUUUAAAAGUAUCAAAUUAUUGAUACUUAUAGAUUUUUAGCCAUUAGAAUAAGAGAUGUGCGAUUAGAAUAAUGUGAAACCCCUAGAGUUAAGUGGGUGGUUGGUUGAAUAAUAUGAUUUAAUAGGUAAAAAUGAUCAAAGUGGUAAAUCUAACGGUACAAAAUUUACAAGCACCAAGUGCUUGGGGCUUUUAGAAGCACCACAGCCUGACUCCUGUAGAGAUUCUGUUUAGUUGUAAGUUAAUGUUAGAUCCUUCCACGAAAGAUGGCUUCGGAUUAUUUGCAAGGUAACAUUUUGAUUUUGAGUCGGUCUUGUGUGCUAUUAGGAGCACGGAGGCCUCUGUGCUUCCAAGCUAUUUUUUAUGAUGAAGCUUCCAAAUUGACGAUCGGCUCCAUUGGACUUGAUCUAAUAUAUUUGAAGUAUUUAGAAAAUAAAUUUUGUGAAUUUUUAAUAUCAUUUAUCUAGCGAUCGAAAGAGUUCAAAAUCAACAGCUAAAAAUAAAAAUCUCAUUGAUAAUAUAGCAUUAAAAUUCUUUAUCAGAGAAAUUGAUCUUGCAGUAAAUUUCUUUCAAAAUUUUAUCUGAUUUGAAUACUUCUAUACUGUUAAACUUGCAAACGGUAUACUUCAACCAUUAAAAAUUAUUUAAUUUUAAAUUAUUUCGAUUCUUAGAUAAAUGAUAUCGAAAAUCUACAAAAAUUAUUUUCUAAAUAUUUCAAAUAUGCUAGAUCAAAUUUAACGGAACCAAUCGUCGAUUUGAAAGUCUCAUCAUAAAAAACAACUUAGGAUCACGAAGGCCUCCGUGCUCCUAACAUAGAGAUGUCAAUGGGUAUGGAUACCCAAAAUAUUACUCGAACCCGAACCCGAACAGGGCGGGUUUAUCCGAGCUAAACGGGUAUGGAUUUGGUUAUGGGUAUAGAAAAUAAAAACCCGACGGAUAUGGAUACGGAUAUGGAUUUUGUAUUUACCCGACCCGAACCCGAACCCAAACCCGAAUAAAUUAUAUAUAUACAUACUUUAUUUUUAUUUAUUUAUAUAAUAUAUAAAAUAUUUAAUAAUUUUUAUCCCUUAAAUCUUCAUUUAAGGGUAUGGAUUUUUAAAACCGGCCGGGUCCGGGUCCGGGUCCGGGUUCGGGUUUCGGGUUUUUGGUCGGAUACGGAUAUGGGUAUAGAUUUUUAAAACCCGCCGGGUUCGGGUCCGGAUACGGAUUUUAAUUUGGUUUUCGGAUUCGGGUUCGGAUUUUUAAAAACCCGACCCAAACCCGACCCGUUGACAUCCCUAUCCUAACAGCACACAAGUCCUACUCUAACAUUUUUCAAGGCAAUCCACCAAAUUAGUUGUAUGCUGAGUUUUGAGUCUUUUUAUGGGCUUUUUUUUGCAUUUAGCCUCCUGGCAAAUUUUUAUUUUAAAAAUAGUCCUGUCAAAAUUUAAUUUACAAAAAUGACUCUAAGCCUGUCACGCAGGCGCUACGUCAGCACCACCCAGGAGAGACUGGGGGUAGUUAAGUUAAACAUGGUGAACUAUUCACCGUGUUUAGUACGUAUAAAGAGGAAUAGGGAAUUUGUAUUCCUUUUCUUCUCUUUUUCAAAAAUCCGAACCCGAACCCGAAAAUCAAAUUAAAAUCCAAACCCGAAUUCGAACCCGACGGAUUUUAAAAAUUCAUACCCAUAUCCAUAUCCGACCAAAAACUCGAAACCCGAACCUGAACCCAGCGGUAUUUUAAAAAUCUAUACCGUUGGACGAAGAUCUAAGAAAUAAAAAUUAUUAAAUAUUUUAUAUAUUAUAUAAAUAAAUAAAAAUAAAUUAUGUAUAUAUAUAUAUAUAUAUAUNUAAAUAUUUUAUAUAUUAUAUAAAUAAAUAAAAAUAAAUUAUGUAUAUAUAUAUAUAUAUAUAUAUAUAUAUAUAUAUAUAAUUUAUUCGGGUUUGGAUUCAGAUAAUAUUUCGGAUAUCCAUACCUAUUGACAUCUCUGCUCUCUAUUCCUCUUUUCAAUAUACAAAAAAUACGGUGAAUGGUUCACCACGUUCAACUUAGCACACGGCCCCGGCCCUGCCCGCAUGGUGCUGACGUGGCGCCUGCGUGGCAGAUCCAAGAACAUUUUUGCAAAUUAAAUUUUAAUAGGACUAAUUUUAAAAUAAAAAUUUGCCGGGGGGUUAAAUGCAAAAAAAGCCCUCUUUUUAUGAAAAAUGGCUGUACAACAUUUGUAAGGAAAUUUAUUUUCAAGUUAAACUCAUGAGUUCAAGCAGUUGGGUUGGAUAUAAAUAUAAUUAUAAAUACAGUAUAAUAAAAAAUAUAUAUAAUUAAAAAUAUAAUAGUUAUAAUUAUAUAUUUUUUAUUUAAUUAAAUAUAACAAAAAAUACUAUAACUAUAAAUAGUUUAUUUGCUUGCAUAAGGUUGGGAACAUGUUACUGCCAAUGUAAAAGAGUACAUAUUGGAUUCCUAAUUUAUAAACCAAAGAAUUCAAUCCCAAUAUCCUAUUGAGAAAUGGAAAACGUUGGGCCUUUUGUUUCUCACUUGGUUUAAUCCCCUCAAACAAAAAAAGAAAAAUGCCCUCAAAAAAUAAUUUGCUAGUUAGAAAAAUAUUUUUCGUUCAUUUAAUUUUCAAAAAAAAAUACCAUUUUUAUUUUCCAAUUUUUUUUAUCCAGAAAACAUAAAAAGAAUAUUUUUCAUGAAAAGCUUCCUUUUUUUUUUUUGAAAAACAGUAUUGCACAGAUUUUCUAAGAACCAAACACCUUAUAAGGGUCUUCAAAUGCAUAGAAUUUAAUAAUAAUAAUAAUAAGAGCCCAGCUACUAUCCUAUUAAUAGGAUAGUAAUAGGAUAGGAGCAUUUGUCCUAUCAAAUCGUUUUGAAUGAUCGAAAUUUCAAAUAGAUAAUCAGCACUAUUGAAAUUGAUCUACACAAUUAAAAAUGUUUAGAAGCCAAAUUUUGUAAUAUUUAAAAAUCAUUAUCAAAUUCAUCUUAAGAGUUAAAAAAUACACGGUCAUAAAUGAAUAAUCUUCUUAAAAUAAAGAUUAGACUUUCUUAAUUUAUAAUCAGAGUUAUCAAACAUUAUCUAAAUAGUAUAAAACAUAAUCAGAGUUAUUAAACAUUAUCUAAAUAGUAUAAAAAAUUUUCUAUCAAAAAUUUAAGCAAUUUGGAUUGCUCUACACUGUUAAACAAACAAACGGCUCAUAUAGACCGUCAAAAAUUGUCGAUUUUACGACACUUUGAUCACCAUGUAAAUAAUUUUUAAAAUUUAUGAAAUUUAGUUUCUUGAUAUUUCAAAUACUCUAGAUCAACUUCAACGGCUCCGAUUAUCGAUUCGGAAUCUCUAUCAUCAAGAACCAUUUGAUAGGACAAGUGCUACUAUCCUAUUAAUAGGAUAGUAGCCGACAAAAGAAAUAAAGAAAUAGUCGAUCUCUUGAGAAAAUUUGUUUUACCGCCUAAUAGCUAGGGCUGGCAAACGAGCGAGCCGGCUCGCGUUCGACUCGUGUUCGGCUNUUGUGAAAGUAAAAUCACGGUUGAGAGAGAGUAGCCAGUUAGUUACCGUACACAAGCACGUAGGCCUAGUAGUACCUCAGCUUGAGGUUGGAAGUUGCGCUUGUUUGAUUAGCGCGCAUAGGCAAGAUUGCCUAAUGCUGGACUUAGUGUGAAAUAAUAUAGAGACGUACGACGCUCGAGUGUAGGUACUCGUGGAGUGUGGAUCUGACUCAGCCGAGUGAGCGUGUUGGCAGUAGCACUUCAGCAUUGCUAAGUGUGAAGCGGGCCAGAGAUCACUCGUAGGGCUGGUGGCUCGUACUAGGUGCAUAGGAGCCGAUAGUGGUACAUGUGGCUCGGUAGAGCAUGUCGUGUAGGACGACGACGGCGGGUAUUGCUUGGGGACGACCCGUACCUGGACCAUUUGUGGACUGUGGAGCCUGGGCCCUUUGGACAGGCGCAGUCAGCUGUGAGUGACAGCGGCCCGGUACCUACGUAUAGGGCAGAGUUUUGGUCAGGGCGGUAGUCCGAGCUGAGACCCGGGAGCGUGAAAUGCCAUAUAUUAGAGCAUGAGAUCGAUGAUGCACUAAGAGUGCGGUUGUGACCCAACCCGAGGAUGUGACAUGGUUUGGGGUCCUGGUUGCUCCUGGUUGGAGUGUAUGCGAAUUCCCAAAUGAGAAUUUCGCCCGAUGAAGAUUGGGUCUACGCCGGUGAGCAAGAGACGCUGUGCGUCGUUGAGACAGGUUUAGGCGGUAAGCAGGUUUAGAUAGGUUUAGGACGUUGGAUAUCCAGGUAGGAUACACUAUCAACCUGCAAUCCCCUUACCUUGAUCAAACGCUAGUACUGAGGGCUUUGAAAUCGAAAAACAAUAAAAGACCAUAUGAGAACACUAGACAAUAGUCCCCAAUUAGUAAAGUCGAUGACAACGACGACCUACACCACUAAGUCUACUAGAGGCAAUAAUAGUAACUAAACUAUAUGAAUAAUAGAAUAUAACAAAUAACUGUGCUAGGAAUAACUACUACUAUCAUGCCUCUAUGUUAUUACUAAAAACUAUAACUAAAAUAGUACACGCAUCAAAUCAAGAUAAUUGGAUAAAAUAAUAUUUUACAACCCAAUCGCUCUAACCGACUCAUAAGUCCAGUGAAGUCUGCACCUGCCUUAUGUCCAGCAUACACCUAUAGUGGUUCACUAUCAUGCAAGUUAUUGUUUCAUCAUAUCACUAAGCCACCCUCCAGAGUGGCACUCGAAUGGCGCGACCCCAAUUGAGUAUCAUAGCGCAUGUCACUAUCAAGCUCAAAUGGCUAGUAGGCUGUAACAUACUGGACCUUUGCAAAUUGCGGGGUUCGAGUGUUUGAUCAGUGUUCCGAGUUUUUCUAGAUAUUCUGGAGGGUCGUUGACAGUGUUCCGACCUAUGGCUCGUAUCUAGGGCUGGCAAAUGAGCAAGCCGGCUCGCGUUCGACUCGAUAUUUGGCUUGCUCGAGCUCGACUCGAAAUUAAAUGAGCCGAGCUUGAACAAAAAAAAGGCUUGAAAUUCAUUUCAAGCCGAGCUUGAGUAUUACUCGGCUCGUUCGAAUUAGGCUCGAAAAGCUCGAAAAGCUCGAAUAUAUAUAUAUAUAUAUAUAUAUAUAAAAUGUAUUUUAAUUAUAUAUAAGCUUUAAUUUAAUUUGGGCUAUUAUUGUUGGCCCAUAAAAUAAACCCAAUAAGUACAACCGUGCAAUUGAGCCAAACUCUAAAUUUACAUAACACACUCUCUUUCAGACUUUCACUGUUGCACAUAACCCUAAAACAUGAUAACAUUCAAAUUUCCAAAUAACCCUAAAACAUGAUAACAUUCAAAUUUUCAAAUUCCUAAUUUUUUCCCUCUCUCUCUCUCUCUCUCUCUCUCUCUCUCUCACAGACCAUCACCCAGCCAGGCAGUCAUCCUAACUCACAUUUCUUGCAAUUAUUUUGUAUUUUGAACUAUUGGACAUGUUGCAUCAAAUUGUAGGUAAUAUUUAAUAAAAAUUAAACUAUUGAUUAUAUAAUGUCGAGAAUUUCAAUCGGCUCGUUUAGAGCUCGAGCUCGGCUCGACUCGAAAUUAGGCUCGCUCGAGCUCGGCUCGAAUUAAUUUCAAGCCGAGCUUGAGCCUAGAUUUAGGCUCGAAAUUAAUUUCAAGCCGAAUUUGAGCUGACAUAAACUCGCCCGAGCUCGGCUCGUUUCCACCCCUACUAAUAGCUGAGCCAUUACCUCAUUAUUACAUAAUCAAGAAGUAACUUAAUUUAUUUCUCAAAAAAAAAAAAGAAGUAACUUAAUUUAGUAAGAACAAGCACAAAGCUAUUAAAUAUUGGGAAAAACUUCAAUAAGCCCCCAUGUGAUUUUGCACUUUUUCAUUUUAGUACCCUAUAGUUUAAAGUGUAUCAAAUUAGUACCCUAUGAUUUCUCACUUUAGUACCUUGUAGUUUAAAGUGUAUCAAGUUAGUACCAUGUGGUUUCUCACUUUAAUACCCUGUGGUUUAAAGUGUAUUAAGUUAGUACUCUGUGAUUUUAUUUUUAUAUUAAGUUAGUACCCUGCAGUUUUAUUUUUGUAUCAAAUUAGUACCCUAUGAUUUUUAAACCACAGAAUACUAAAGUGAUAAAGUGCGAAACCACAGAGUACUAACUUGAUACACUUUAAACCAAAAGGUACUAAAGUGAAAAAGUGCAAAACCAUAGGAUACUAAUUUGAUACACUUUAAACUACAGGAUACUAAAAUAAAAAAAAGUGAAACCACAAGGAGGGUAUUUGAAGUUUUCCCAAAAUAUUAAAAACGUAACCCAAUCAACCUCCAUAGAGAUUAGAAAAGUGAUUCACUAAUCUCAGAAAUGGUUAGUUCGCUUUAAAAUAAGGGGAAAAAAAGGAUAAAGAUAAGAGACAGAGAUAAAAAUAAAAAAGGAGAGAGAGAGAGAUUAUGACAUUCGCAGAUAAUAAUGGAAGAAAAAAGACCAUGACAAUUUUAAUUGACUUAAAAAGUAUUAGAGGUGCCUCCAUAUUGGCAACACAUGUGAUAUAUCAAAAAGGACAUCAAAUUCACAUUCUUUGUUCGCAACCCUUUCAAAUGAAAAGCUACAAGAGUACAUAGAAAUUGCAUACUCUCCUCAUCGAAUUUAAAGUGCCAAGUAUAGCUAGAAUCUACAAGAUUUGACAUUUCAGAAUUCGAGCACGAAGAAAAUACGAAGAAAAGAAAAAGGAAAAAAAAAAAAGAAGCCCAUGUCACUCGGGCAGCGGACAAAUUAUACCAAGCUCGGCUACGCAUUCAUCAAAGUGAGUAAAAGUUUAAACUAAUCAGUAAGAAGACAUCGUACCUGGAACAUAACCACAGAAAUAAGCCUCAAACUUUCAAGUCGAUGGUCCUAUCGCCUAAAGAGUAAUUCAGUACCGAUCAUGACGCCUGCGUUCGAGGCAAAAAGAUCAAGUAAAUUUCUUUUAGACAGAUUUACAGAGAUAUAUAUAUAUAUAUAGCUAGGCUCCUAUAAUAUCUAUAGUAUCAGGUCUCCGGUACUAUUAUCUCAUUUUCGAUCUUAGGGUAUUCAAAUCAACAAUACAUACCAUUAACACUGAUCUAGGAUAUUUAAAGUUUUUAGAAAUAAAAUUUUAUAUUUUUUCGACAAAAUUUACUUUAUGAUCAAACCAUUUCAAAAUUAUUAAUUUUCAAUGACUACUAUGACGAGUUUGUAGUUUACGGUGUAGAAGAAUUUAAAUUUAUUCAAAUUUCAAUAAAAAAUACUUUAAAGUAUCUAGAUCAAGGUUGGCAUCCUUGAUCUAUAAUUCAAAAGUCGUAUUCUCAAAUUUUAAAGAUUGCUCAAUUUCUACCGUUCAUUUUAACAUGAUUUACUUACUAAGUAAACGAUGUCAAAAAAAAUUAAAAUUUUAUUUCUAAAGACUUCAUAUAUAUUAGAUCAUAUUUAACGGUGUAGAUCGUUGAUUUGAAUACCCUAAGAUCAAAAAUGAGACUAUAAUACUGAAGCUCUGGUAAUAUAGAUAGUAUAGUAGCCUCGUUCUAUAUAUAUAUAAUUCGACUACUAUCCUUUCAUUAGUAUUCUUCGUACUCAUAAAUCGUUUUCAAUAAUAGAGCUUUCAAAUCAAUGGUCUAUACUAUUAAACAGAAUUUAUAGCAUUCAAAUAUUUUAGAAACCAAAUUUUAUAAUUUUUUUUAUUUUAUAUACCUUACGAUUAAAAAGAUUCAAGAUUGAUCAUUUUAAAAGCAGGUACAAGACAUUUCCUAGUUUGAUAGUGUAAAAGAAUCAGAAUUGAUUGAAUAUUUAUUAGAAAAUUCUAUUCACUAUUUAAAUCAAGAUCAAUGACUCUGAUCUUGAAUUGAAGAACUAAAUCCUCUAUUUCUAAAAGGUCAUUAAAUUUUGACCACUUAUUUUAUACCCGCUUGCUGGACUCCAAUAAAUUUUAAAAAAUUACGAAAUUUGGUUUCCAAGUAUUUCAAAUGAUCUAAUGUUUCAUGGUAUGGAUUAUUGAUUCGGAAGCUCUAUCGUCGUAAGCAACUUUAUAUGCCCCUAAAAAGUGAAAUUAUUUUUAUAUGCCCCUCAAAACUAAAUUUCUUACCAUGUAUCCUUGCAAGUACAAAGAUGUUUGAAUCUGAAGUAAGUACCAAACUUAAGAUAAAGGUCCUUUGAAAUGAAAUGGUACUUUUGAAGGGUAUACAGUAAGAGCAAUGUAUUACAGGGUACGUCUGUAAAAGGAUGACUUUAAAGGGGCUUACACAUAAUGUUAUUGAGCUAAAGCUGUGAUAAGAGUACCUGUGCCGGUCAUAAUCUUGAUUACGAUCCCUUGAACGAGAUCUUACCCUCCGACUGUGCGACCGACUGGAAUCCCUAUCCCGGUCCCGGUCAUAUUGACGAUCUCUAUCAUAACGCCGAUCACGAUCUCUACUUUCACGUUCAUAUUCUCUCCCACUCUCUCGACUAUACGAUUUGUCCUUUUUAUCUGAAUCCCGAUCCCUAGUCGAUUCUCUCUCGGACUGCCGGUUGCGAUCUCUCGACCUAAUUAUGAGUUAAAGGAGACGUCGUCAGUUAAUACUUUCAACUAUAAAUUUUUUUUUCUCAUGACUAGGGAAAAAAGCUGUACCUUCUAUCAUCUUCAAUCUUUCGCCUUUUAUUCCUCUCCUCCUGACAAAAGAUCAAUUUAAAUAUGAAAAGUAAUAAAAUGAAGGAUUGAAAUCAAAUGACAGGAUAACUUGACAUUGUGUAAGAAAAUUGAAUGACCAAAAUAUAAAUUUUAAAAAAUAAAAAAGGUAACAAUAUUGCGGCAGUAGCUACCACUUAUGAGGUCAGAUUAUACUGACUUUGAAGGUAAGUACGAGUCCAACAUCUAACAAUUAUUCAUAUGGCUCGCAAGAAAUAACUUCUUAAAACUGCACCUAUUUAUCACUUUCGACUCCAAGGAAAAUAUGUCAAAAAAUGAGAUAAUUUCAAUGUGUUAACCACAAUAUCAAAAUGCGUGGACUAAAGAUGGCUCAUACCAGAUAAAAUGUUGUGCACAAGUUUCAGUUUCUGACCCACGUUCUACCAAACAAUAGGCGAAAAAACCAACUGAAAGAUAAGCGGUCAUAAAAUGUAAAGGAAUAGAAGUUUCCACAAUCAACUUUAAUAUAGUUAGUACUAUAUUUCCUCAGCUUACAGUUUCUCCCACAUAUAGAGAUAGCAGUUGUCCAGGUACUGUGUACCGAGUCCAAUUAUGGCCCACCUUCGCUACUCCUGAUGAUGCCCUCUCGGAUAAUCAUUAUACUAUCCAAAUGAGAAAAAUGAGUGAAAGCAUAAUGAAACGUAACAGUGACUGCUCCUUGAGGUCAGAAAAACUCACUGAGUGCCAAAAAUAAGCGUUUACUCUCUAAGGCCAAAAGUGAAACAUUAUAACCGGCACCUGAUAAACAUGUCGACAGUUUGCACUUCAAAGAAAUUUUGUGGUGGAAAGACAAAUGCAAACAAAAAAAAGGAAGCAACCAUUGAGAAACUUUAGGAUGCAGCUUAUUAAUUAUUAAAUAUGCAAGAAGCACUAAAUUAGGCAUGAGAAUAAGUGGAACAAGCAUUAGGAAAGAAGCACAGCAAUAACGAAAAAAUCUACCUGAAGUUCAGAAAGCUUGUCGCGGAUCUGCAUGUAGCCCAAGUGUAGUUUCCCUCCAAAAUGAUCAGCAAGACGACGAUCACUGGAUACCAAAUGCCAAAUAGAAAAGCUCCCCCACUAAGUACAAUAUCCAUAUAAUAUAUUUUCUACUACCCACACUAGUCAAAGCAUACUGAUACAUACAUACAACCAAGAAAGAGCACAUGAUCAUGUGGCAAAUUGUUCUUCCUAUAAAUGGUGGUAGCAGAUAUGAUACAGUAGUAAGCAGUAAAAAGUACAAAGGGGCUGAAAACGUGUUAGAUAAUAUCCAUCAAUCAAGAUUCCAAAUCAGAAUUUUACUGAAUAUGGGCUUCGAUUUCCUUAUCCGGCUUGAAUCCUGAUUUUUAUUUCAGAUACACUUGAUAUGGGUUGUAGUCUCUUUGAAUAUAUAUCAGCAUAUCCAUAUGCUAAAGUUUUAAGUAUAUAAGGUGGAUGCUAAAUCAUGUGUCUAUUUACCACGCAUAAUAAUGUAAAAAAAAUGUAUAUUUCAAUAUAGUGAUACAUUUGAAAUAAGUAAGAUACACCGAUAUACAACUUGUAUACAUAUUAGUACAAAGCACUAUCCAUUUUAGUAUCCUUAUAUGCAUUUUUUUACUUUGAAGAAAAACAUGGAUAAUGAUAUGUUAAACCACUCUCUGAUCUGUUUUAACCCCAAGAAGCACACAAAAAUCUAGAUAAAAAAAAUGUAUAUUCCAUUAUAAUGAUGCAUUCGAAAUAAAUAAGAUACACCAGUAUACAACUCGUUGUACGAAGCACUAUCCAUUUUAAUAUGCUUAUAUGCAUUUUUACUUAGGAAAAGAACAUGUAUAAGGAUAUGUUUAACCACUAUCUGAUAUGUUUUAACCUCAAGAAGUGCACAGAAAUCUAGAUACCAAUAUUUUAUGUAAUCAGAAUCUCAUAAGCAGAAUACUUGACUACAUGGUAUAACAAGAAAAAGGGCAAUACUUGUCGUAGACGCUCAAAAAUGCUCCACAUAUGUCGCAUAAGCGUAACUUCUGAUCAGUCUGCAAAAUCGAACAUAAAUUUCAUCAUGAGUACUAUUGUACUUCAACAGUGCUGAGUUUCAUUAUGUUAAAUAAUAGAAUCAAUAGACUCAAUCUAAUCAUUUCCUGGAAGAAGAAAUUUUAAAAGCAUGCUAGUUACACAAAACUAACAAACAGCCAACAAUAGAAAGUAGAUCCAGUAAACAACGUAUGAGAACUUCAUCAAGCACAAACAGUUAACCCGUAGAGUUCCCAGAGAAUGCAGUAGUUGUGACUUUGAUGGGAAAUUCUGGAUAUAUGAAAACUGAAAUUUCUGAUGAUACCACAUCUUAAGGAAUCAAGUGUUGAAAAUCAUGAAAACAGAAAGGAGUAACUUAGCAGUUAGCCUACCAUGAACUAAAUGUUAUACUAAACUGUAAUUCUGUUAAGCCCAUUUAUAUUUUUGGCCCCAGUUAAGAGUCAUUGCAGAGUCCAAGGAACUGUAAAUUGAGACAAAGCCCAACUAGAAUGUUCAUUAUCUUUUGUAGCUAGACAUGAAUAUCAAUACGGUUAUAAAGGGGAAGGAAGAAAUUAAGCAAAUGGAGUACAAAAAUGUAUAUCUCAACGAAGAGCCGAACUCACAAUUCGAACAUCAGCAGCUGUGUAUUUUGAAGAUUCUACCAGGGGCUCCUGUCUUGCACCCAACUAAAUAACAAAGCGAAGAAAAAAUUGUAAGUACUAUUCAUGGUUGAUUGUUGAAGAGAAAGAAUAAUGUACUUCAAAGGUUAUUUUAACAUGCAAAAUCAGCUUAUCAUCAGAAAAUUAACAAUAAGCUGAUUACAAAAGCAAAGUAAAUAGUCUUAAGUCAGAAAAGGAGAAACCUUUUUAAGAGCUUCAGCUUCUUCCAAAGCUUUCUGGGCUUCAUCUAUCAUUCCUUUUUCACCUACCAAUUCCACGUGGAGCACAAAAACAAUGAGAGCAUUUCCCAUAUUCCAAGACAAAAUUAGUGUGUGAAUUGUGCUUCAGGUUAAGCAAAUAUCAUCAAUUUCAGCAGAAAGUGUUCUAUUACUAUAGGUUACUCUUAAGUCUUAACUCUGAUAAGGAUAAUACCCACAACAAGUUAUUUACGUCCUUCAAGAAGUUCAAAGCAUAGAAAAAGCUUAAUAUCACAUAGCAUACAAUCGAGGAUCUGAUAAUGCAAAAGAACAUAAAGAAUAACUAGGAGUACAGUGGUUAGAAUUAAUUUCCUUUUACGAAGUAAUGCUGUGACAUACCGAGUUCUUCAGCUUUCCUUAACUUUUCAUUUAUCAUUUCCUGGGUACGAGGAUCAGGAGGAGCAAGUACAGGCAGUGGUGCUGGUUGAGGGGUAUUUUGAUUUGGUUGUGGCAAUGACGCCCUGUCUUUGUUGAAAGCAUCAAGAAGUAGCAUUGCCUGAAAGAAAGAAAAGACAUCAUCUUGCAAUAGCUAAACAAUGCGUAAACAUACAUGGAACAGCAACAUAUACUAGGAAAUACUAAUUAGUGAUGGCUAAAGUCUACAUCCUAGAAUACUAUGAGGGUUCCAGUGACCGAACUUCAGAACGGUACCUGUUUAUCAGCUCUUUUGGCUCGUAGCUCUUCCACCACUUCCAAAGCCCGAAUUUUGCUAUCAGUUUUUCCUUCAAAAUCUGAAUUUUCAUGCAAUACGGGUAUCCAUUACUAAUUUACCACGAGAAAAUGAUUGUUGAGAAAAUGAAUUAUUAUAGUGAAACGAGGCAAUAGUAGUAAACAUUUGGUAAUACAUAAAGGAAAAAAGCAAAAAAAUCAGGAAAAACGAAGAGACGAUCUAGACUAACUAAAUCAGUGAUGAAUCUUGUAAUAGGCAACUUGCAAAAUCUGGAGAAUCUAACUUUUAGAAAAUAUGUCAUUUCUCAACUAAAAGAGACAGAUUUUAUGGCCGUCAAUCAUAUUCAUCAUUAGAACUCUCUAGAAAAUGUACAAACAGAAAACUUAUGGUGAUUCUGUGUCCCAUAAAAGUUGGAUUUUCUCAUAAUUAAACAAUUAUGGGCAUAUCCACAAGCAAAGUUUAGUUAAUUUAGUAGGAGCUGAGCAAUUUGAUUUAUUUACAAAGGUGCAAUUGACAUAAGUCCAACCUCAGCACAAAUGAAAGGGAAAAAAGUACAAGAAAAGACAGCAUAUGGAGCCUGUGAAGCUAAAUUUACCUAUUAAAGAAUCAAAGAAACUUCAAGAUAGCAAAAUAACUAUAAACAUCUAUUCAAUUCAACAAAAUCUGACACGAAGAGUCAAGCAAGUUAUGGUUCAGCGGCUCUGUGCAAUCCACUCUGCAAUCCUAUGUGUUGUAAUAGUUUUGGCUUUCUUCCAAGGAGUUGAUGUCAAACCCUUUACCCAUUAAUUAUGAGCUCCUAACACAAUAAGUGCUGUGUAUUAAGAUUUAUUACUUCGAGAAGUAAAUGGUCACAUUACCGUUCAAGAUAAAACUUGUGUUUGUUGAAUUAAAGGGUUCACAAAGUGCUCUUCCAGAUAAACACGCUUACUUGCACGCUCAACUAGAAGUGCAAUGGCACAUAAUUUCAAUCACUCAUAAUGUAUAUGUGCAUCAUCACAGCCUUUAGCAUAUAUGUAAAUGAUGGUUCAAAAUAAAAAUUUGCUCCACAAUCUGAUUUCAAUUUUCUCAAGAAAAUCAUUUUUUUCCAGUGGCUUUGCUCCCAGAUGGGAGGCUGACCAAGUCCAGAAACGGUUCAUUCUAUAUAUUCCUCAAUUGCUUGAUAGUUUUCCUCCAUUUUAUCUUAGUAGGGCAUCAGUGAGCCACUUUUAUAGUCACACAAAAUCAUGAUCAUUCAGAGGUACCAUAAAAUCUUCAUCUUCAGUUUCAAAGACAGCGAGGAAUAAUUUUGCAUGUAAUUAUAGGCAAUUUGUAAGAAUUGUUGUAUAAUUUAAAAUACCAUCAUCAGGUUUUGCUUAAAGAAUCCAUCAUCAGGUUUUGCUCAAAGAAUCCAUCACAAAUAUGUAAAAGAAAAAGGCAGUGUAAAAGAGAAAAAUAAAUAAUUUCAAACUUGAGAUACCGCUUCAAAUAUAUAGGACAUCAAAUAAGUCUUUAAUAUGAAGAAAGAAGUUACCAAAAGCAUCCACUUCUUUCAGCUUCUCCUUUAUUUGUUUUGAGAACUCCAAAAUCUCAGGUGUCUGUAAUAUAAUGGGAAAGUCAAAAAAAAAAAAAAAAAAAAUUUUAAGUCUUUCCUACGUUCAAUAGAUAUGCAUAUGAAAAAGGCAGCAGUCAAUACCUGAGUAACCUCUGAUACAGAUAUUGCAAUAGCAGCCUUAGCAUCCUCAUCAGCGAGACGCUUAAGGGCUCUUUGGAUUUUCCUUUCACACUCAACAAUAAGUCUCUCUAUCAUAUCCUCGAGUUCUCUAUCGAAAUUGUGUAUGCCUUUAGCUUUUGCUUCUUCGUAUCUAGGACAAGCUCAGGAAAGUAUUUAACUAAAGUAAUUCAUUUACAUCAUCCAAAAAUGCAGGUUCAAAGAAUAAGUUAUUACAAUGAGUAAUAAGCUUUCCACAUCUCUCCAUGUCUAUUCACAGAACUAUCUUUCAGCUACCCUUCUAAUCAUUAAAUCUCAGAGGAGGAUUGAACAAUUUGGUUGUAAAAUAAAAACCACAGAAAAUCUCAGAAGUGAGGAAUAUCCCAUGUCAGCAUGAUAAAGUAUAAAUGAGGAAAUAGGAGCAGCUAGAAAACCACUAUACAACAGCUAAGAAGAUAGUCAAAUAUUAACACAAGACAGCGCCAGAGCAAGACCUUAUGGAACACAACAAUAAUAAAAAUAUACUUCUUUGAAUUUCGGAAUUUCGGAAUAGCCUUCAGCUUUUCUAAUAUUACAUUGCUAGCAUGGAAGUAAAGAAAUUAAACAAAACACUUUUCUACUCCAGAGAGUAGUCAUUUCACAUCCCACGUACACACAAAAAACAGAAGAAGAAAAAAAAAAAAAGGCAGUAAGAUGAAUUAAGGAUACUCUUUUCUCAGCUGUAAUGAAUGAACCUUCGGACAAGGACCCAGAUCCAUUUUCUGGCAUAAAGUUGAGCAGUUGCAUUAGCAUAAUAAUUCAAAGAAAAGAAAACGGCUUGAAAAAUCAUUAUUCCAACUAAUAUUACACGCAUACAUACAAAAGAACCAAAUCAAUGUUCUCUGAUGCUUAACUUGCUUUUACCAACAUUCUUUAGUGUUUAUACUUCUCUUACGUGGCCACCGAACAAUUAUCAGUCCAACAUUAUAAUUAUUGCUAAUUUAGAGGGUUGAAAUAGACCCUGCAAAUAUUUUUCUUUUGAUCGAGAACCCUAAACUUCAAAUUAUUAUUAUUAUUAUUAUUUUCUUAAAUUGGAUUAUCAUACUUAGUAAAGUUAAUUUUUUUUCUUGAAUUUUAAUGACUCUAUUAGCUAUUGGCUGUUAAUCAAUCCAAUUUUAUUUAUAAAAAAAAAAAGUGAUUAAAAUCAUUACAUUUGACGAACUAUGAACGAAUUGGAUAGCAACAAAAUCCUCACUUCUUGACCAAAAUAAAUAUGAACGGCCAAAUAUGAAAUAUAUCUCAACCCAAAUAAAAAAGAAUUAAGCUAGAAUUCUUGUAAAGUACUCGUUCUUCGUAUUUCCACGCCGUUUCUAACGAUGGCGCAUCCGAAUCGACGAUCAUUGCCGUUAAGCAUGAUCUACAGUAUUUACCUAGCGAUCAAGCAGCCUCAAAUCCAGUAUUUAAAUAAUGGGUAAAUAAUGUCAAAAGGCCACAAAAUUUUGGUCUCUAGGAAGCUCGCGAGGCGUAGAUCAUGGUUAACGGUCAAAUCAAUAAAAAAAAUACGAAUUAGAGAAAGAAAAAAAAAGUUUGAAUGGGAGGGUUAGGGUUUGGAGAGGAAGGGAAGCAACCGUGAGCUGGAAGAGGUCGUGGGGGCAGAGGCCGACAAGGAAGAGGCGGCAGACGUCGCGGUCGUAGUAGCUGCGGCUGACCUCCCGCACGUCGCCGUUCCUGUUCGCCCCCAUCAGCACGUCCAGCUGCUUCCUUAUCGCGUCCAUCACCGGACCCCCCCCGCUUCUCCCUCUCUAACUCUCCACCUAGGGUUAGCGUUAGGGUUUCGAACUCGGAUUGGGAUUGGAUUUGAAGAGAGAGAGAUAGAGAGAGAGAGAGAGAGAGAGAGAGAGAGCUAGGGUUAGGGUUAGGGUUAGGGUUUGGAUUUGGAGUUAAAAACGAAAAAGAGAGAGAGAGAGAGAGAGAGAAAGAGAGAGAGAGAGAGAGAGAGAGAGCAGUUCUCGACACCUCCUCCGGUGGCUGUAGGGUGGGGAGGAGGAGAUACACUAAUAAACGUGUUUGGCCCAGCAUUUAAAUAUGAUUUGAAAUUUUAAAAUUUUAAGCUUGGGCCAGCAUUUAAAUAUGAUUUGAAAAAUUAAAAUUUUGCUUAAAACCUAUUAUUGAUUAAAAUAGUAUAUUUAUUUUAUUAUAUGUAAUAAUUUAUUUUAUAUAAUUUCUUUAUAAUAUAUAUAAUAAAUAAAGUAUAAUACUAACAAUAUCCAUAUAAUUUUAAUUAAUAAUAGUAUAAAUUUCAUUGACGCUCUCUAGCGCAAGUGGCAAAGGGCUUAGUGGUGAGUAUCCGAGGUCUCCCAAAUUCGAAUCCUAAUUACUUCUAAAUGAAAUAGCAUUAACCUGCUACCUAUCUCUAUACAUAUAAUACAUGAAAAAAUAAUUUUUUAUAUAUAAUACUUAAUAUAAAAUAAAAUAAUUAAACAUAAAAAUAUAAAUGAUAAAACUUAAUAAAAUAAAUAAUAUAACAAAUUUAAUUAAUUUAUAUAUAUAAAUAUUUAUAUUAAUAUAUUUAUUUAUAUAUCUAUUUAUCUAAUAAAAUAAAAAAACAUGACAAAGUUGUUCUCAAUUUUUCUAGAAAUAAUUUUUAACGGAUUAUUCCAGAACAACCCAUUUUCUGAAGUUCUUCCACCGUUUGGUUACAAAUUGGGGGAUGUCCGGUCUUGUUCCGGGAUAUCCCGCUACCAAACGCAGCCUUGAAGAAUUUUUGGCUAAGUUUAAAUUAAAAAAAAAUAAGUAUCUUGAUAAAAUACUUUUUGUGUUUAUAAAUAAAUAAUAGUAUAAUAUUUUGUACUAAAUUUGUAAUAUACUGAACUUUUGCAAAUUGCGGAGUUCGAGUGUGUGGCAUGAGUUGUAGAACUAUCCAACAUGUUCUAAAAGGUUUGGAUAAGUUUUUGGACAAGUUAGAGAGUGAUCGGAUUGCCGGAGACAAGAAAGUGCAUUGCUUCUGCGCAUUGGGCAGAUUUUGCAUUGUGUACCGGUACAGGCAUUAUGCUGUACCGGUACAGCAAGCAGCUGAAGCUGCAGCUGCGUGGCAGUAAGGCUAUUAUGGUCUUUUCACUUCUCCUACUCAUCCUUAUCCCUCCCAGCUAGACCCUGAGGUUGUAUUAUUGUCACGCCCGGGUACAAGCGGAAGCAUAUCCGGUACGUGCACAGACCCGCCAUACACCUGCAGUAUAUAAGGCGUCUACAGAAGCAAAUCGAUAGGAAGUAAAACAAAGAAAGUCCUAUUCUGAUAUCAGAGCAAAAAUACAAGUCGACAAUACUAUCAGUAAGAGAACAAAGAGUACAUAAACCAAAAUCUCAACUAUAAGAGAAAGUAUCACAACUGUAGAGUCUGUCCAAGGAGUAAAAUAUACAAUAUGGGGUAUACAAAAAUUAGGUACAAUGGUGGUCUCUCUAUAUAGGGACAUCACCCUCGGCCGUAGCCCGAGUAGCAAGGUGAUCGACUAGCACGCUCCUAAUAGUCCCUAGCUAGGCGCGACUCCCUUGCCACAAUCCCUAGCCUCUCCUGUAACAGGCUCUGUAAAAACAACCACCAAAAGGGCGUGAGAACUAUAAACAAUAGUUCCCAGUGGGUAAGCCGCCAGCCUCGGCGAAUUACACCACUAGGCUCAUGAUGUACUAAAUGAAAGCAAAAGUAGUAAUUGCAUGACAUAUAUAAUUAUGCAGUGCUAACAGAUAAUAAGCCAAUGUUAACAAAUAAUGAACAUGUAAACAACAUGUAAUCCUAGUCUCAACAGUAAUGAUUUAACUGAAUAAUAGAAGCAUGGCCACUACUAGCAUAAACAUGGCAUAAAUGUGUAAGUAACUACUGUACACUGUAUCUGGUAAUCAUUCAUUACUGUCCAAUUUCCUUUAGCACUUUUUCUUUCAUUCACAGGGACCUACCCAAGGUAGUCCAGCUUGCGCCGCGCCUAGUGGCCCCGUGGUAGUAUACACUCCCCACGGCAAUCCACUUCGGCACCCAAUCCCGCACGGGCGAGCAACUGUCGCGUAGGCCAACUCCGGAGUGCCGGCUUGUAGGGAGCUACCCUCACAAGCGUGUACGAAUGAGCACGAUGGCAAGCAAGCAAAGUCCACAGUCCAACAUGUCUCAAUUAUUACAUUUUCAAUGUUCUCGGUCUCGAUCCUCGAUCGGAAUUUCAAUACACACAGAGUAACAAGAACUCGUAUCCACUAAAUUGUCUAUUAUGGCACUAUCAACAUGGUCAUAAGCAUGUUAUAGUUUUCUACUUUAGAGUCAAGCAAACGUCAUUGUUCUCUACAAGGUCACGAGAAUAUCAUUGUUCUCUACUUUACCAAAGCAUCAUUCGUAUGUCCAUUAGUUAACUUAACUAAAUAUAAACAUAAACAUGGGCAUAAAGACACUUAUGCAUGAGUACUCUCUACUUCAUAGAGGUUCUAUUCAAUCAUAUGUAUAUAUAUCAACACUAUAAUAUAGUGACUCGUCUCAAAUUCUGUAUCAAUCACAAAAGCAUACAACUGUACCAAUUCUAUAGUACAUAUAGAACAUAGGGGAGCUCCACUUGCUCUGGUUAGGUCAAACCCACCUAGUACUAGGCUCC